CGUUCUUGACAUUUUCUGUUUGGGUAUUUUUAUUUUCACAGGGGUAAUUUGAUCCAUGGUUUAAUCCUGAGUCGAAGGGCUUAUGCAAAUUGCCUCUGCCCAACCCGAGGCUGCGCCACAUAUAAAUACAAUUUCCCAUGAAACUAUCAGAGCAAGUGUUCCAAGAGAACCAAAGACGUACCGACUUGAGUACUUAUUAUACGCUGCUGUGGAAAAAGUGCAUCCAAGUGUUCAUUCCAUCCACCUUUCAUGACUUUAGUUAGCCCUCCCAGCAGGCAAACAAGGUUGAGCAAAGAGAUAGUCACGAUGAUCACAUAUUCUGGAUCCGACGACCCAAAUUCCAUAAUCUCUUGCUCAGACCUCUUGGACUCGUCUUCAUCGCUUACCUUUGGUGAAACCACAAAAUUCAUCUUUGAUAGUCCAAGUAACUUCCGGAGAUUGUCAAGGACUCCAAAGAGGUAUGAGGUUAUUCUUUUGACCAACCACAUCCUCUAUCCAUUCCACCAUCCUUUCAGCGUGUCUACAGAUGAUAGUGCCUCAUAUAGGUUGUACACAGUGGUGGAGCUCGACAAAGAUUGUUGAGGGGUCAAACACAGAGUUAUGAGGGGCCAAAAGGGCAUAUUCUGCUAAAACUAUGAUAAUUUUUAAAGUUUUAGUUCACGAAUUAAUGAUAUUUCAUAUACUUUCUCUAGGGAAGGGGGGGGCAUAGCCCCCUUUGGCCCUAGUGAAGCUCCGCCAUGGGUUGUACAUGUUCUUCACACAGAAGACAUAUACGAAGGGUGCGUAAUUUGUGUUGAGGACAUGUAAUGGUGUGUAAGCCCAAGUGGAUAUCCUAUGUUGAACCUGUCAAUCUAUCUAUCUAUCCUAUGCUAUGUCAUGUGAUGGUAUUUUGCACUUCAGCUUUUAUCAUUCUAUCCUAGUUAUAUUGAUGUUGGAGUUUUCAGUAAAAAUGAUGCAAUGAUGUAUGAUAUCAAUCUAUCUACACUUAACAGUUGAAUUGACUAGGAAACUGAGAAUAAGUAGUGGGCAUCAUUGAUCAACAUAUUAUUAUCAGACAAGGUAUCAUAUUACCAUCCAUCAUCCAUAGAUAACCAAAAGAGAAUAUAGUUUUGAAGUACUUUCUUACAAUCAUCCAUCAUCCAUACAGAACCAACAUAGAUUAUUGCAGUACAUAGCCUAAACAAAAGCAAGUUGGCACCAUUCAUGAUCAUAUGAAUAACAAAGACAGUAUGAUCAGGAAGGUACCAAACACUUUUACUUUGGCAACCUACCUAAAGAUAUCAAACAUUGAUGAUUUGACAGUCUUUCUUGGACAUUCAGCUUCAUUCUGGCUAGCUUUUCUUUUCGCAGCCAACCUUUUCUCCUGUUCUCUCUGUGCAAUUGCCAUCAUUCUCUCCUGUGCAGCAGCAAGCUUCUUCCUGCAAUUGCCAUCAUUCUUGUGCAUGUCCACUAUGUAAUCCAUUCCUCUAUCACCUGCUAGGAAUAAGCCAUCUCCUGAUCCCUCCACAUAGCAUGUGUUUGCAAAUUCUGUUACCUUCUCAACCUUCUUCCUGAUCUUUGGACAUGCAUCUCCUUGCCAUUUAUCUGAAUCCAGCUGUUUGUUGUAAUGCCUUGUCAUAAGUUGCCUGUAAAUCCUGUCAACCAUGCUAAGUAUUGGUAGUUCCCUUGCUUCCAGGAUAUACCUGCAUUUAACAGCAAACCAUGGUAAGUAUUGGUAAUUCACUACAUUGAAAAGCAUUUUGGCAAACUUCACAAAUGUACCUGUUGAAAACUUCACAAAUGUUGUUAAGCAGAAUAUCACAUUUUGGCAAGUCACUUCGAAAAGCCUUAACCCAAGUUUGUGGUUCUAGCUCAUGCAGCAUUUGUAUGCCUCAACAUUAAGAACCUUCAUCUCCUCCAUGCCCUGUUCAUACAACUGCAUUGUAUUGCUCCUAGCUAUCUUCCAGAGUUGAUUCUUCAAGAUGUCACCUUUGAAAUGUUGUUGAAAGUUUUGCCACAUGUGCCUAACACAAUAUCUGUGUUCUGACUCAGGGAACAGUUCUUCAACUGCAUUGAUGAGCCCCUACAAUUGCAAAGCAACAUAACCAUUCAGAAGCUAUUCACAACCAUUCACAUAGUAAUGACACAUAAACUUUGAAAAAGAAAGAUGGUACUUACCUUUUGUUUGUCUGACAUGAUAGUCCAAGGUUCAGUGUUUAUGAUGCCUAGGUCCCUUUUGAGUGUGUCAAGAAACCAUGACCAGUUAGGGGUGUCCUCAACUUCAACCACAGCAAUGGCAAUUGGAAAUAUGCAGUUAUUUGGAUCUACCCCAACAGCUACAAGCAGUUGUUCUCUGUAUCUAGUUUUAAUGUGGCAACCAUCUAGGAAGAUGACUGGUCUACAACCCUCCAGAAAUCCUCUCUUGCAAGCAUCUAGACACAUGUACAACUUGUUGAACCUAGCAUUUUCAUCUAAUGAAACAUAGAAGGAUGAGCCAGGGUUGCUUCUCCUAACCUCAUUAGCAUAAUUCCAUAGCAGCUUGUACUGCCCUUUCUCAUCACCAUAAAUAAUUUUCAUAGCCAUUCUCCUUGCUCUUUGAAGUUUCAUCCUAGUGGGUGUCAUAUGCCAUUCUUUUUGAACAACCCUUGAGAAAUUCAUCAAGUUCAUAUCUUGAUCAGCCCUAAAGCUCUCUAGGUAUUUCAUUGCUAGGAAUCUUGAUGUGAAAGCCCUAAUCUUCCACUUCUUGCUGCAUGUGUGCUCAUGCACAUAUCUCUUCACCAUGAAAGCCUUAGUUCUACUUGUCGUGGUUCUAAGUCUGAUAGUAGAAUGGGGGGUAGGUAUGGAGAGGCAAGAUCCUAGCUAUGGAGUAGUUGUACACACGAGUGUUUUACGAGUUCAGGCCCUUCUCGGAGGAAGUAAUAGCCCUACGUCUCGGAGCCUGGAGGCGGUCGACUGGUUUCUGUAUAUAUGAGUUACCGGGGUGCGAACCCUUUACACUGAGGAGGGGGGUGGUUUAUAUAGAGUUCGCCAGACCCCUCCGGCCCUCAGUUAUGCAGGGUUUAAAGUACAUUAAGACAGGGGGUUACCUUGUAACGCCCUCAUAAAGUGCCAUGAAGACUAUUAAAGCUACUUAAUGAUAGACCGUUGCGUGCUGAGUGACUUUAGGUCUCCUGGCCGUCGAGUGGUUAGCUUCAUGGUCGAGUGGCUAUCUUCAUCGUCGAGUGUCCUUGAGUUCGUCGAGUGAAGUCCCUCUUGGUCGACUGGAAGGUAGCUUCUUCUAAGGAUGUCCUUGGGUAGGGUAUCCUAGAUGGGUCCAUGACCCUACCCUAGGUACAUGACUUCAUCAUUAGCCCCCGAAUGGAUCGAGGUCCGAGUGAGGAAGGGGUUGAUAAUUUUCUCCGACCUAUUUCCCGUGCUCUGAUUAUGUCGUAUCCUGGAUCAGCGAUUUUUCUUUUUUGGCGUUGGCAUUAACUUUUCCUUCAGUCGCCUUGAUCCAUUCUUUUCUUCUGUCGAGUGAACUUUUGAACUUAGUGAACUUCCGAGCGACGGAUCGUAGGAAAUCUAUCGUCUGACAGAUUGAUCUGCCAUUAGCGGAUUUUGUGGGAUCCGAAUUUUGGGAAGCGCGUGAAGCGGGGAGGACCACGGUACUCGGAUGGGAUAAGGCGUGGACGCCUCGAUUUCCGCACCGCCUUUUUCGCCAUUUAUCAUGCGUGCGCGACUGUUUCGGGAUGUGACAGGACCGCCCGGGCCUACUUGUCAGCCACUCGGAAGCGUCCUUAUAUAAAGCGCCGGGCGAGGGUUUUUGAACAGUGCCUUCUCAUUCUCCUCUCUGCCCUCUUUGCCUCCGCCCGUUGUGCCUGCUCUCGCCUCCGCCUAUCCACUCCUCGCGUGCUUCACCGGCAACAAUGGUGAAGGAGAAGACGGCGGCCUUGGAGCGCGCGAAGAAGGCGACGGCGAUGGGGAAAGCGAAGGGGAGAGCGUCCAGUCGGGGCGGAUCUUCGUCAAGGUCCCGCCUGCCAAAAGGUUGGGUCUAAGGGGAUUGGAUCCGUUUGACCAUCACCGAGACGGAUCUCAAUGACCUGGCCAACAAGGGUCUGAUCCCCCACGGGUCAGCAAGGCUUCCGGGGACCGAGUGUCAACCGCAGCCGCAGGAGAGUGAGUGCGUUCUCCUAGCCACUCAUGUAGACCGUGGAUUCUCUCUGCCGCCGAGUGUUUUCUUCCGAGGGUUUCUGAACUUCUUUGGGGCGCAAUUCCACCAUUUCACUCCCAAUUCCAUUGCCUAUCUUGCUUCUUUCGUGUCCAUGUGCGAGAACUUCCUGGGUUGUCGACCACACUGGGGUCUCUUUAAGCACAUAUUCACCUGUCGCUCACAGAGGUGAAAAAGGGAGUCCGGAUGAUGAGAGGACUAAGGUUAUCCAGAUGUGCGGGGGUCUUGGGAUUCAGAUGAGGAAUAAGAGUACUUUCCCGGCCAUGACCCUUCCUGAGUCGGUCAGAGGGUGGCAGUCGACUUGGUUCUACUGCCAAGACGAGUCGACGUCGGGGCAGUCGACUGGUCUCCCUCCGUUCUCCAUGGACCGAGUGGACAAACCCUCUUCUCUGAAGGUGCUUCCUGAGGAGAAAGCUCAGGUAAAAAUGUUGAUGGAGCACGUAGUCCAACUUGUUAGGGACGGAGUGACGGGUAUGGAUCUUCUGGAGGUCUUCCUUAGACGGCGCAUACAACCACUUCAGUACCGAGGCCACCCGAUGUGGUUGUACUGUGGUACCGAAGACACCACUCGGGUCCAUCCAGAAGCGGUCGACGAUGCCACACUGGAGAGGUGGGUGGCCGCAAUCACAGGGAAUAAGGACAACCCUCGAGGGGCUAGGAGGAUCCCACCACUCGACUGUACCUACACACCGGACACGGUAUGACCACUUAUCUCCAAUUGUAAUCUUGCUUUAUUCAUUCUACUUCGCUGCGAAUUGGUCGAUUGAUCUUUGUUUUGUUUUGUUGCCUGACAGGCCACCACUGAGUUAUACUCGAUGCCCAAUGGAGCGCAAAUGCCGACUGAGGAGGAGGAAGGAAGUGGGGGCGAAAGCCCAGAGGAGUGGGAUUCGGAUGCUGACGACGAUGAUGAGGGUGAUGACUCUGGUGAGGAGGAAGAGGAGGAGGAGGAGGAGGAAGUUGUACCUCCUCGCUCGGAAAGACGCUCGAAGCUUGUCCAUGAUCCCGUGGUCGAGCGUGGUAAGGGGGUCGCAACCGUGACGCAGUCGUCCAAGCGCCCUCGGACUACUUCUCCGGUGCCGACUGAGAAAGCUCUGAAGCAAUCUCGAGUGGCGCCGUCGAAGUCGGCGAAGGUCUUGCCGAAGAUGAAGAUGGUGAUCCCCACUAUCUCAGGGUAAUGGUGUAGCUUGAGUUUUUCUGUUCCACAUGAACUUAUUCUUGGUCGACUCAUGAGCUAAUCGACUGACUUCUGGAACUGCAGUGCUGCUACUUCUGAUACCUCGGUCAGAGCUGAAGAUCAGGAGAUGGAGGAUGCUGUUACUUCGAAACCUGGUAUGACUCUUGUAGUUCUGUCUUCAGUCGAUUGGUUUCUUGUCUCUAAUUUUGAUUCUUUUUCUGCAGCUUCAUCUAACGUCGUUAUCGACCUUCCCGACGACGACGACGAGGAACCGCUGAGGCAGAGAAGGAACAAGAAAGCGUCUACUGGCAAGGCGACUCAGGACGUGCCCGCACCCGAGACAUUGGUCGUGGAGGGAGACAAUGUCACUUGGCCUACCGUAACCUUUGCGGUGCCGUUGACGAGUGCUCGUCCUUCAUCGUCGAGUGCUACUCAACCCUCGCUUUUCUCAACCUACCACAUCCCAGAAGACCAAGCUAGUGCUGCUAAAGAAGCAAUACGCCAAGCGGGGGUCAUGAUGGAGCAAGUGAAGGCAAUUCGAGAAGCCAGCCAGGCAGCCUAUGACGCCAGUUCAACUCUUCAGAGUAAUGUUCAGGUCAGUCGGUCACUGCCUGUUCUGUUAGGAUAUGAUAUCUGAAAAGUCUUCUUUCUGAAAUUCCUAGAGUUUGUCCUACACCCACUAGGUGUGUCGAUUGAAAUUCCGGGUUAGUGGGGGCAUGCUGAGUGCACCCACUGGGUGUAGUCCCCAAGGCUAUGGUGGACUGCUGGCAGUCGACCAUAGUCUUUAUGUCUUAAGUUUUUUCCUUACUCGACUAGGUCGAAUAGAUUCAUAGACCGGUGGGGGCACGCUGAGUGCACCCACUGGGUGUAGUCCCCGAGACUGUGGUCGACUGCUGGCAGUCGACUAUAGUCUGAAGAACACCUCUCGUUUUUUUUGUUGGUCGACUGGUCGACUCUAACUGAUGAAACUAGUGGGGGCACGCUGAGUGCACUCACUGGGUGUAGUCCCCGAGACUAUGGUCGAAUAUUUGUAUUCGGCCGUAGUCUUAGAAACGCUAUGAUUUUUCUUUAGUCACUCAGAAGUGAAUUGUCUUUGACAUCUGUCGAUUGGUUCUUCGUAGAAAUCCUGCGACCUUGCAGCUCGUUAUACUGAGUUGAAGAACAAACACAUCCAGCUCGAGCUUGAUUUGAAACUGACCCAAGAGAACCUAAUAAAGGCGAAGGAGGAAGCUAAAGGUAUGUUUGGUGAGGCCUUCGACGACUGCCUUUGCCUCUCGUUUGUUUCAGAGUCUGAUCUCACUGUAACUUUGCACACAAAGUGAGGGAUGCCCUGAAGAAGAAAGACCUUGACUUGGCUGAGAUGCAGAAAGCGGCUUUAGAGCAGACCAAGCUCGCAGAUGAGAAGCUGGCUUCAGUCACCAAGCUUGAAGAAGAAAACACCAAUCUGAAAGCUGCUCUUGAUGCUGCCAACAAGGAGGUCAGUCGACUAAAAAGUGACAAGAUUGCCCUGAAUGACAAGGCCAGUGAGUUGGUGGGAAAGAAGAAUGAUCUGGAGGCUUAUCUGGGUGGACUCGCCAAGAAGCUAUUCCUCAUGCUUGAAGGUAAUCUUUUGUAUCAAACAUACAUUUUAACUGUGAUCUCCGACUGUUGUCUUAACUCAGUGGUUGUGCUUGCAGAAUUUUGCCAGAACUUUGAAGAGGGGACUGGUCGACUAGAAAUAAACCUGGAUCCCAUCAACUCUCCCAUGAAAGAUGAAGUCACCAUGAAUGUGCUCCGGCUUGAAUCUCGUGUUGCUGCUGUCAUCGACUAUCUCGCAAGGCUGAAGGUCGCAACUUCUCGCAUCGACACAACACUCUGGCCAAGAGAGACGCUCCAGAACGACCUCGAGUCUCUGAUGACUCGACUGAACGAGGUCCCAAGUCGAGUGCAGGAGUGGAAGAAGUCUUCUGCCAGGUGUGGCGCGGAUGUUGCUCUGUCUCUGCUCCGCGUUCACUGCAAGGAUGCACGAGAGGACAAGCUGGCGGCCCUUAGGGUGGCUAACACCAAGAAGCAUGAUUUCCGAUCUUUCAUGGAGACCUUCAUCGCCGCUGCCACUCGGAUUGCAGAUGGAAUUGACCUUGAUGAGUUUGUUGCACCUUCCAGCCCUCCAUAGGAGGGGUAAAAAACUUCUGAGCUUGAUACUUUAAAUUUGCCUCGGUAUGCCGAGUGAGUUUUGUAACCGACAAACCUUAACAGGCUUAGCGCCUAAGCACUUUCGGUUCCGUUAUGUGUUAUCCGAACUUGGAUUCGACGUUGAAUAUGUUUGCAUUUGGUUUGAGGUGUCUUUUGCAGGCUAAAGCGAGGCGCUCAUUGCAAUCGACUUGUUCCCCGAUACACUUAGGCGAGCACUGGGCUGCAGCUAAGCCCCCGAGUGGGAGGUCUGCCCUCCACUCGGUAGGAUUUUCAAAAACUUAAGCGAGCACUGGGCUGCAGCUAAGCCCCCGAGUGGGAGGUUUGCUCUCCACUCGGUAGGAUUUUCAAAAACUUAGGCGAGCACUGGGCUGCAGCUAAUCCCCCGAGUGGGAGGUUUGCUCUCCACUCGGUAGGAUUUUCAAAAACUUAGGCGAGCACUGGGCUGCAGCUAAGCCCCCGAGUGGGAGGUUUGCUCUCCACUCGGUAGGAUUUUCAAAAACUUAGGCGAGCACUGGGCUGCAGCUAAGCCCCCGAGUGGGAGGUUUGCUCUCCACUCGGUAGGAUUUUCAAGGCGUACCUCUGGAGAAGGAGGUAGCAGUCAACCUGCACCUCGUCCUCCUUGCAGAGCGCACGUUGUAUUUGUGGCGUAGCUCGGAAGGAGAGGGUAGCACUCCACCUGCACCUCGUCCUCCUCGCAGAGCGCAUGUUGUAUUUGUACUUAGGCGAGCGCAACGCUGCAGCUAAGCCUCCGAAUGGAAGGCUGGCUUACCACUCGGUAGGAUUUUGUUUAACUUAGGUGAGUACUUGGACUGCAGCUAAGCCUCCGAGUGGAAGGCUGGCUUACCACUCGGUAGGAUUUUGUUUAACUUAAGCGAGUACUUGGACUGCAGCUAAGCCUCCGAGUGGAAGGCUGGCUUACCACUCGCUAGGAUUUUGCUUAACUUAGGCGAGUACUUGGACUGCAGCUAAGCCUCCGAGUGGAAGGCUGGCUUACCACUCGAUAGGAUUUUGUUUAACUUAGGCGAGUACUUGGACUGCAGCUAAGCCUCCGANNNNNNNNNNNNNNNNNNNNNNNNNNNNNNNNNNNNNNNNNNNNNNNNNNNNNNNNNNNNNNNNNNNNNNNNNNNNNNNNNNNNNNNNNNNNCUUACCACUCGGUAGGAUUUUGUUUAACUUAGGUGAGUACUUGGACUGCAGCUAAGCCUCCGAGUGGAAGGCUGGCUUACUACUCGGUAGGAUUUUGUUUAACUUAGGCGAGUACUUGGACUGCAGCUAAGCCUCCGAGUGGAAGGCUGGCUUACCACUCGGUAGGAUUUUGUUUAACUUAGGCGAGUACUUGGACUGCAGGUAAGCCUCCGAGUGGAAGGCUGGCUUACCACUCGGUAGGAUUUUUUUAAACUUAGGCGAGUACUUGGACUGCAGCUAAGCCUCCGAGUGGAAGGCUGGCUUACCACUCGGUAGGAUUUUGCUUAACUUAGGCGGGUACUUUGACUGCAGCUAAGCCUCCGAGUGGAAGGCUGGCUUACCACUCGGUAGGAUUUUGUCUAACUUAGGUGAAACGGAUUUCGCAGCUAAGCCUUCGAGUGGGAGGUUGGCUCACCACACGGUUAGGAUUUUUUUACAGACUUAGGCGAAUCAGAUUCGCAGCCAAGCCACCCACUGGGGGAUUGCUUUAUGUGGACAAAAGUAAUAACAAUUACUGGGAAAAUUAUAAAGCUCUUGUCUUUGAUAAAUAAACUACAGAAGUACUUUUAUUACAACUCAUCCGAGUGAAUACUUAAGUGUAAAAGGGGCGAAGAAGCUCUGCGUUCCAAGCUCGGGGCUCAUCGAUCUGAUGCUCGACAUUGUAAAGACGAUAUGCUCCAUUGUGGAGAACCUUGGUGACGAUGAAGGGACCUUCCCAAGAAGGAGCAAGCUUGUGUGGUUUCUGCUGAUCCACUCGGAGAACCAAAUCUCCUUCCUGGAAGGCUCGACUCUUCACGUGUUUGGCGUGGAAGCGACGCAAGUCUUGUUGAUAAAUGGUCGAUCGGAUCAGAGCCAUCUCCCUUUCUUCCUCUAAAAGGUCGACUGCGUCCUGCCGUGCUUGUUCUGCUUCAGCCUCGGUGUAGAGCUUGACCCGAGGAGCAUUGUGGAGAAGGUCACUCAGCAAGACUGCUUCAGCUCCGUAGACCAAGAAGAACGAAGUUCUUCCAGUCGACCAGUUGGGCGUGGUCCUUAACCCCCAAAGUACCGAGGGAAGUUCGUCGACCCAUGCACCAGCCGCAUGCUUGAGAUCACGCAUCAAACGGGGUUUCAACCCUUUGAGAAUCAGGACGUUGGCUCGUUCUGCCUGUCCAUUCGACUGCGGAUGGGCGACUGAAGCAUAGUCGACUCGUGUGCCUUGAGACGUGCAGAAAGCUCUGAAUUCUUCGGAAUCGAAGUUUGACCCGUUGUCAGUGAUGAUGAUGUGCGGGACUCCAUAUCUGAAUAUCAAUUCUCUGAUAAAGCUGACAGCAGUACCGGCAUUGAGGUUCUUGAUGGGUUUGGCCUCAAUCCACUAGGUGAACUUGUCGACUGCUACCAGCACAUGGGUGAAACCGUUUCUGCCUGUUCUCAAAGGGCCGAUCAUAUCCAACUGUAAGUGCAUCUAGUGCCCCUUAGUGAUUUUGGUGUAUUGAAGACUUAUAGGUUAAGGGACUAAUGCGUUUGUGAGUGUACACAGGUCUAUAAGUCUAUGAGGAGUUUGAUAUUUACAGAGAAAGUCGACCCCUAAAAAUGAAGUUCUUCAACUGAAGGCUUUGAUAUUCUGAAGACUUUGAAAGUGAAGAAAUUGGUGUGACCUUGAAGACUUGGUAUUCAUUUGUGGAACAUGAAGCGUGAAGACUUUUGUUUUCGUAGUUUCAUUUUCUCUUUCUUGAGUCAUAGGAAACACCGUACUGUUAAAGGGGGUCGAGGAAAUACUAAGGAAAAAUUUCCAUGUGAUGCUCAACUCAAAAUCCUACACCUACCAAUCCCUUCGAGUGAAGCCUUUGGAAAUCUCAUACAGUUCAGUCACUUUCUUCAGUGACAGAGACGAAGUUCUUCUGGUCGCUGAUGAAUUUGUUCUGACUGAGGAGUUAGGAAUUCGUCGGUGCGAAUUACCUACAUAGUGAGGAACAUGAUAGCCCUAAGGAAUUUGAUAGUCAAAUUUCCGACCGUUGCUAUGCUACGCGCCAGCUGUCCCAAAAUAUCUUAUCCACCUAACGGUCAUAUCAGACAAGGGCAUUUAUGUCUUAUCAUGUCGGGCUGCUCCCUAGGCUAUAAAUAGCCGCCCCCACAACCACUAGCUGGUUGGCUGCUCCGAGAGAACUUGACACUUGUCAUUUGAGAGCAACCCAUCCUCCGAGGACUUUGAGCGAAAAUCAUCGAGUGAGGAAAACCCAAAACCAAACCCCUACAAACCCAAAGUGAUUGAGCAUCACUGAAGAAAUUGAUCCUGCGUGGAUCCAACGCUUGUUACCUUUGAAGAAUGUGCUUCUUCCAGACGGUUAGGCAUCAAGGUCUAGAGCAUCCAAGAAGAAUUGUGGAUCGCCGAGUGACCAAGUCUGUGAAGGUUUGGAAGUCGCCUGAAGACUUACCACGAGUGAUUGGACGAGGUCUAUGUGACCUUAGUUCAAGGAGAAUACGGUGAGGACUGGGUGUCCUAAGCUACGUGCUCAGCGACUGGGUGUCCGGGACUGUGUGUCCUCGAGUUUAAAUACUCAGCCGCUCCAACCAGACGUACAACUGAGACAGCAGUUGGAACUGGUCUACCAAAUCAUUGUCUUCACCAACCUAACUGGUUCUAUUUCCUCAACCCUUUCAUUUCCUCAUUACUGUGUUGAAUGUUUGUUCAUAUCUGUGUUUGAAGACUUUGACUGAAGACUUUCUCAAUUUCCUCAGUUCAAUUUCUUCAGUCUGUUUGUCUUCAUCUUGUGUUAUCUGUGAUUACGCUUUCUGUACUCUGUGCUAGUCUUCAUUUCAUCAUGAUGACCAUGCUUGUAUUCUGUUAUGCUUACUUCUGAGUACUUAUUCCACUGCUAAUAGUUCUUCGCUAAGGAAUUUCCUCACCGGAAAAUUCCUCAGUGAAGAAUUCAUAAAAAUCGCCUAUUCACCCCCCUCUAGUCGACAUAACGCACUUUCAAUUGGUAUCAGAGCAAGGUACUCCCUUGUUCUGUGUGAUUUUGGUUUAACCGCCUGGAGUUUUAGUUAUGUCGACCGCAGGUAUGAUCAAGGUCUCGGCUGGGUGUCCUACCUUUGAUGGGACGGACUACCCCUACUGGAAAAACAAGAUGCGAAUGCAUCUCGAGGCAAUUGACAACGAUCUCUGGUAUGUUGUGGAAAUGGUGUUCCCUCUGUCUCACCCUCACUGAACGCUACCGAUGUGAAGAGAUUCAAGCAACUCGAUUCUCAAGCGAAGAAUAUCAUAUGUGGCCAUCUGAGUAAAGGACAAUAUGGAAGAGUGAAUGCUUUGGAAACUGCUAAGCUUAUCUGGGAUAGGCUGUCCAAAGUGAAUGAAGGAGUCUCAACUCAGCGUGACUCUCGAGUUGAUGUUCUUCGGAAUCUCUUCAACCGCUUCAAAAGACUCGACAAUGAAAAUGUCCAACAAACCUUUGAUCGCCUCACUGACAUCUCAAAUGAGCUUCAAGCCCUCGGUGCCACUGACAUCACUGACCAUGAGGUGGUGAAGAAACUGUUGAGAUCACUUGAUUCCUCAUUUGAUACUCUGGGUCUGAUGAUACAAGAAUGGGCUGACUACAAGUCUCUUGAUCCUGCCGAUAUCCUCGAAAGGCUAAAUACUCACGAGUUCCAGCUUGCUGAAAAGAGAGAUCUCUAUGGUUCGAGCUAUGGCAAACCACGUGCCCUGAAGGCCAAGGUUGUGUCUGAGUCUGAAUGUGAGGAUUCUGGUAGUAGCCUUGGUGAUCCUGAAGAAUUGAGCCAGGAGCUAGCACUGCUCGUGAAGAAAUUCCAGAAGUUCUCAAGACGUGGUCGCUUUGGAAAAUCCUCAAGAAGUAGUGAUUCCUCAUCAAGUGACUAUAAGAGAAGGCUGUGCCACAAAUGCAAGAAACCUGGUCAUUAUAUUCAAGAUUGUCCUCAGUGGGAAAAGGAAUUGAAGAAGAAUAAAUACAAGGAUUAUAGUUCUGAUGAUGCGAAGAAGAAGAAGAAAUCAUCAAAAUCUUCGUCAUCAAAAUCCUUGAAGUCUUCAUCUCACAAGAAGAGCAGCUCCAAGAAGGCUCGGGCAUUCAUUGGCAAGGAAAUGGACUCUGAAGUUGAAUCUGAGGAACAUGAGGAAGAGGAGGCGUCUAAAGAAUCCGAAUCUGGUGUGGCGAGUCUGGCCUUCGCUACUGCUUUCGUUAGCAAGUCCAUCUUCAACACUGAAGAAACUGACCCCACCGACAAGCCUGAUGAAGAUAAUGAUGACUACGCUCCCACCUAUUGCUUCAUGGCAAAAGGUGCAAAGGUACUCAAAUACACCUCCUUUGAAUCUAGUGAAAAUGAAUCUGAUGAGGAUCUCAAGCCCAGCUACUCUAAACUUGCUAAGAUUGCUGUAAAACAACAAAGGGCUUUUGAAAAGGUUCAAAACAUGCUAGACAAAAGUGAUGAUAUGUUGGGUGAAGAAAUGGAUCGCACUAAAGCCCUGACUGAAAAUUUUCAGAGACUUCAGUCUAGGUUUGAUAACCUUCAAGGUCAUCAUAACACUCUCUUGUCGGAUCAUGAGAAACUUUCUUAUGAAUUUCUUCAAAGAAAGCAAGAUCUUGAGAAGCUAAGAGUGAGUUAUGAAGAUCUUCAGAAGGAGCGCGAUUCAUUACUAGCUCAACAAAUCAGCGCUUCUCAGGAAGAAUUUGUUCCUCCAUGCUUAAAGUGCAUUGAACGUGAAUCUGCUAAUUCUUCACCUGAAUGUUCAAAUGCUUCAACUGUUACAAAUUCUUCACCUGCCUCUGCUAUCACUAAUUCCUCAUCUGAAGACAUUGCUAGUAUCACUGACGAUGCAGGGCUGAAGGAAUUGUACAUGACAGGCAUGUACAAAAGCCUCAAAGGGCAUCAGACUCUUUGUGAUGUGCUUAAAAAGCAGAUCCUCAACAGAAACCCUAGGAAAGAGGGUAUCGCCUUUGAGAGGAAACUUAAUGCUGAUGGAACAUAUUGGAAGCCUGAGCAGUACCCCAAAACCUCAUGGGUUGCUGCAAAUGGACCUCCAGUUGAUCCAUCUAACUUAUCUGGCUUUACAUGUGAAUCUCCUCAUCCUUCUGAUGAGUCAUUUGACUCCAACUAUAAACUGUUCAAAAAUCAGAAUGGUGAAGUAUUUGCUAGAUAUGUUGGCACUAACUGCAGGAACGGUUCUCCUAUGAAGAAAAUCUGGGUUCCAAGAAGUGCCUUGAAAGUCUUCAGGUGAAUGUCCUCAUGACACCACUAGUGAAGAACAGGAACCCCAGAUCAAAUUCUUCAUAUGGAUCAAAUUCCUCAAAUGGAUCAAAGUCCUCAUAUGAUUAUCAUCGUGCUAACAACUCUAUUUCGCAGGGUAGAGCUAAGGGCUAUGAAUAUGUGCAUUAUUCUUCAAACCAUUAUGUUCAUAAGUCCUCGAAGAAUUUCUCUGCUUAUUCAUAUGCUUACCCUAACCCCUCUUAUGUGAAACGAAAUGGUUUGGCUUCUAUGCCACCAUUCUCGUAUGGUGCUCGCAGAGUGAUGAACUCUUUGCCACCCCUUCAGAUGUGGGUGGUGAAGAAAAAGAACUAAUCUCUUCUGCAGGGUCAGGUCUCCAGACAUGCCUUAACGUCUAAAGAAUUUGCUGGGGACCUGACAAAAUUGCCUGAAAGGACGCAGGCGAAUCAUGAUGAAAUAAACUUUCACAGGUCCUCCUACUGCUAUAUCUGUUUACUGCUUGAUGAAAUUCAUCUAAUGAACUUGAUAUCAGAUUCUUCUUUGAUGAAGCAUAUGAGAUUGUAAGUUACACUAAUUCAUCUGCAGGAUGAUCAACCCAAAGCCACUGAAUGGGUCCUCGAUAGUGGAUGUACAAAUCACAUGACUGGUGACAAGAAUCUUUUGAUGGAUGCUCCCUUAUCACCGUCACAUCUGAAGCACAUCAUCUUUGCUGACAAAGGCAAAAGUCAGGUAUUGGGUCUUGGUAAGGUUGCGAUCUCUAAGGAUAAACACAUGGACAAAGUCAUGCUUGUUGAGUUCUUAGGAUACAACCUCAUGUCAGUCUCAAUGCUUUGUGAUCUUGAUAUGGUUGUUGUCUUUGGCAAGUAUCGAUGUGUUGUGAUUAUGGAAGCUGACAAUUCCAAAGUCUUCGAAGGCUUUAGGAGAUGAGAUUUGUAUAUUGUUGAUUUCUCUACAGGACCACAACUAGCUGUGUGUCUACUUGCAAAAGCUUCAGAAGGCUGGCUAUGGCAUCGACGACUUGGUCACACAGGCAUGAGGAAUUUGCACACGCUUGCAAAGAAGAAGCAUGUCAUUGGCAUUGAGAAUGUCAAAUUCCUCAAGGAUCACUUAUGCGGAGCCUGUGAAGCUAGAAAAAUGACCAAGGCCAAGCAUCCAGCGAAGACUAUCAUGACCACUACUCGUCCAUUCGAAUUGCUUCACAUGGACCUCUUCGGACCUAAUCAUUACUCAGCAGUCACUAAUGAUGCAUCUCUAUAUGGUUUUGUCAUUGUUGAUGAUUACUCUCGAUAUACAUGGGUACACAUUGUUACUUACAAACAUGAAGUGCAGGAAGUCUUCAAAUGUUUUUCCUCGAGGGCUUCAACCAACUUUGGUGUGAAGAUCAAGCACAUCAGAAGUGACAAUGGAACUGAGUUCAAGAAUUCCGGUCUUGAUGACUAUCUUGAUGAACUUGGUAUUACUCAUGAGUUAUCUGCUCCCUAUACUCCUCAGCAAAAUGGCGUCGUGGAGCGCAAGAACAAAACUCUUGUUGAGAUGGCUCGCACUAUGCUUGAUGAAUACAAAACGCCUCAUCAUUUUUGGAUUGAUGCAAUUGAUACUGCAUGCCACAUCAUCAACAGAGUAUAUCUUCACAAAUUCUUCAAGAAGACGGCCUAUGAACUCCUCACUGACAAGAAACCCAAUGUGAGUUAUUUAAAAGUCUUCGGUGCUAAAUGUUGGAUUAGAGAUCCUCACCACAAUUCUAAAUUUGCACCGAAAGCACAUGAAGGUUUUAUGCUUGGUUACGGAAAGGACUCGCACACCUAUAGAGUCUUCAACAUUGUUCUUCACAAGAUUGUUGACACUGUAGAUGUGCGGUUCGAUGAAACUAAUGGCUCGCAAAGAGAGCACCUACCUUCUGUGUUAGAUGAACUAGCACCUGAGGAUUCUAUCAAGUUCAAGGCAACUGAGGAUGUCAUUCCUACUGAAGAAUUUGCUGAAGAAUUCAUUCCAGUUCAUGAAGAACAUCGAGCUGAUACACCUGAAGAAAAUGCUGAGGAAAAUGGUGAUGAAGAAAAUGCUGACCAAACUCCUCAGCGACAACCAGCUCAUCCUCGCGUUGCAAAAGAAGUGCAAGUGGAGAAGAUCAUCGAUGACAUUAGAGCACCAGGUCCUCUCACACGCUCAAAAGCUUCACGUUUAUAUAACUUUUGUGGGCACUAUGCUUUUGUCUCUAUCACAGAGCCCACUAAGGUAGAUGAAGCAUUUUUGGAGCCGGAGUGGAUUCAGGCUAUGCAAGAAGAAUUACAUCAGUUCGAGCUCAACAAUGUCUGGGAACUGGUCAAACGUCCAGAUCCUUGCAAGCAUAAUAUCAUUGGCACAAAGUGGAUCUACCACAACAAGCAAGAUGAAAAUGGCCUUGUGGUGAGGAAUAAGGCACGACUGGUAGCUCAAGGCUACACAUAGGUUGAAGGAAUUGAUUUCGAUGAAACUUUUGCACCUGUUGCUAGACUUGAGGCUAUUCGCAUAUUACUUGCUUAUGCUAACCAUCAUGAAAUCAUCUUAUAUCAAAUGGAUGUGAAAAGUGCAUUCCUCAAUGGUAAGCUUGAGGAAGAAGUAUAUGUUGCCCAACCCCCAGGUUUUGAAGAUCCAAAGAAUCCUGACAAAGUCUUCAGACUUAAUAAGGCCCUCUAUGGCCUCAAGCAAGCCCCUCGGGCGUGGUAUGAUACAUUGAAGGAAUUCUUCGUGAAGAAUGGCUUCACACCCGGUUCACUCGACCCUACUCUCUUUACUAAAUCUUAUGAUGGUGAAUUGUUUGUGUGCCAAAUAUAUGUUGAUGAUAUUAUCUUUGGCUGUACUGACCAACGUUAUAGUGAUGAAUUUGCCUAUAUGAUGAGUGAAGAAUAUCAAAUGUCUAUGAUGGGAGAGUUGAAAUUCUUCUUAGGUCUUCAAAUUCGUCAAUAGCGCAAUGGCAUAUUCAUAUCUCAGGAGAAAUACCUCAAAGAUGUACUGAGGAAAUUCGGCAUGCAAGAUUGCAAAGGCGUUAAAAUUCCUAUGCCCACAAAUGGCCAUCUAUGCACUGAUGAAAAUGGUAUUGACUUUGAUCACAAGGUAUACCGCUCCAUGAUUGGUUCUUUAUUGUACUUAUGUGCAUCUAGGCCAGAUAUAAUGCUUAGUGUUUGCAUGUGUGCCCGAUUUCAAGCUGCACCGAAGGAAUCACACCAUAAGGCUGUGAAGCAUAUUCUUCGAUAUCUAGCUCACACACCAACACUAGGAUUAUGGUACCCCAAGGGCUCUGCUUUUGAUCUCAUUGGAUAUUCUGACUCUGACUAUGCUGGUGAUCGUGUGGACCGCAAGUCAACUUUUGGCACUUGUCAUUUCCUCGGACGAUCUUUGGUCUGUUGGUCCUCGAAGAAACAGAACUGCGUAUCAUUGUCCACUACGGAAGCUGAAUACAUUGCUGCUGGCUCUUGCUGUGCUCAACUGCUUUGGAUGAAGCAAACACUCAAGGACUAUGGCGUCAACGUGAAGAAUGUGCCUCUCCUCUGCGACAAUGAGAGUGCCAUCAAGAUUGCUCACAACCCAGUUCAGCACUCGAAGACAAAGCACAUUCAAAUUCGUCAUCAUUUUCUUCGUGAUCAUGUGUUGAAGGGCGACAUCUCCAUCGAGGACGUGAAGACUGAAGAACAGCUAGCUGAUAUCUUCACUAAGCCCUUGGAUGAGAAGAGAUUUAGCAAGUUGCGGUGUGAGCUAAAUAUCUUAGAAUCUUCGAAUGUUCUUUGAAAAGGACACACAUCCUAACACUUAUGCAAAAUUGAUGACUUAGAUGUGCAACACAUGAAGAAACGUUUUUCUUCAAUCAAUGAAGAAUAACACUCUAAGUGUGAAGAAAUUAAUGAAGAAUUUGAUUCUCAGAACCCUACGACAAUUGUACGCGGUGUCUGAAAUCAUCAUUCUUAUACGGUGGGUCACGCCACCACAAAAAGUUGAAAAUCUUCAAUUUGAGUUUUUUCCUCAGUUUUGAAAUUCUCCAGUUUUUCAAAUUCUUCAACUUUUCAAAAUCUUCACUGUUUCCUUUGUUUUUCUUCAUUGGCUAUAUAUAUAUGCGUUUAUGUCCUCUGCAGCAUUCACUUAUAGCUAUUUCUUCAAGUUGCUUUUCUGCUAAGUGAAUGUGAUCGGACCCUUCCCCCUCUAUGCUAUACUCAACCCAAUCUAUUCACAAAUUCUUCAUAUGCGUUCUAUUUGAAACUCGUUCAAAAUCUUCACUAUGUCCUUGUCAGCUGAAGAAAUUGCGAACGAAACUUUAAAACAAAUCUUAUCCAAAUUUUCGGUUUUGCCGCUCAAACCGUUCCGCAUCCCACAAUGCAUUAUUCUAUUCGCCCACGAUCGUACACGAUCUCAACUACACAGUACGUGGGUGACACAUGUCGCGUGAAGGAGAAAGGGCAGGGGCACGUUCAUCCCAAAUCUUCGGGCGAACUGUUUUUCACCGUGUCUAUAAAUACCCCUCUCCCCUUCCUCACUUCAUUUACUCCGCUCGAUCGCUACUCUCUCACUCGAGCUCCUCAAACCCUAGCGCCGCCGCUACUCCAUCGUCGUCGGUGAGGAAGAGCUUCGCUGCCUCGACCUCGUCGCCAUCGUACUCACGCCGACCGGGGAAAUCUUCACUCCGCCGCCGCCGUAGCUGUCUUCCUCUGCCAAGUUAGGGCGUGGGAGAUCUAACCUGACGAGCUUCACAUCUGUUCUUCUCAGUUCGUCGUGUUCUUCACUUCGGGUAAUUAAAAGUUACUUUUAUUACUCACGUUGAUUCUCAAACUUUCCUGAAAAUCUUCAAAGGUGUUUAUUCUUCAAAUCUUCACACAUAUGAACACCUCACACAUCAUAUGAUCUUGAACUGUUUCUCUAAGCAAUCAUUUUCUUCAAGAUUCCCUAAUUGUGUGGAUCUUCGAUCUGUACAACUCUGGAACCUAAGACAAGAACGCUUAGUGAAAUUCCUCAAGGUUCAUCUGGUCAAAUUCCUCAAAACUUGUUCUUUUCGAAAAACCUCCUCAGAACGCAUAUGACCUCUCCGAAUUCCUCGCACCUGUACUCUGUUCACAGGUACUCAUGUCUGCUGCUGAAUCACUAGGUUCUCAUCAACUUAACUCAUUUGCAGCGUUCCUCGAAGAAAAACUGCAUACUUCUUCAGAGAACUCGAUUGUUCAAAUUCCUCAACUGAAGAACAUGGCAGAUGGUAAGAAGCCACAGAAAGGAGGAAGGAAACCUGAGGUUAUGACUGCGUUUGAAAUCCCUGAGGAAAUUUAUGCUGACUAUUGCACACCUGAUGAAGCAAAAUUUGGCAAAGAAAACAAAAAUCAGUGCAAGGUGCGCAUUUAGAGGAUUGAACGGAGAUGGGCAAGGGAAUGGAGGGAAUACAGAUAUGUGACUCCAAAGUACAUGAGGAAAUUCGCCCUCAAUCCUCCAUGCCCAAGAGCUCCAUUGGCACCUGGCCAAGUAGCUGACCCCACAAGCAUCAAACGUGGUGAGGACUUUCCUGAAGAAUGGGCUAAGCGCCAAGCUAAAUUGGCAAGACAAGCUAAGGAGGCAGUGAAGAAAUUCAAUGAGGAUUCUGCCACUGCUACUGCUACUGAGGCCUCGGUCAAACCGAGGAAAUCCAUGCCAAAGAAGCCUGCUCGUAAGCCAAGUGCUUCACCAACAGUGCCCUCACGGCAAAUUCCUCACACUGCUACAGCUCCACCAAAAUCCUCAACAACUCCUUCAAAGUCCUCAGCUCUUGUGCAUCUGGCUACAUGUCAAAGGACUGCUGGUUUCUCGAUUGCCUCUGGUGUUUCAGCAAGUUCCUCAGCUGCAUCAAUUUCCUCAUCAGGCCCCACACUGUUGAAGACCAAAGCAACAGCUGGACGAGGUCCUCGGCCAAGUCCAAAGAAGAAAUAGGUUGCAUUCCAUGUGCCUUCUGAUGAUGAUGCUUCUGAUGAUGAACUUGCAGAAAUCAUCAGAGACAGACAGGUGAAGGCCGCUAGAGCCAAAGGCACAUCUGUGCCACUGCUUUUGGAUCCGAGAAAAAUCCUCGAUUACAUUGAUCUCUGGCACAAGGAUCCUAACACCCCUAUGCCUGAUUUUCAUCUGACCCCUGGUCAAAGUCAUAUGCUGACCCAUUUCAUCACUGAAGAGAAAUGGAAGUUUGAAAAGGCAAGAGGGAUCAGGAAAGCUCAAUACAGAAAGGAGAAGCUCCUGAAGAAAAACGUUGUCAGAAUGACACCUGAGGAACUUCUCCAGGCUCAGUCUGAAAUUCAAGCCCUCAGCAAAGACUUUGAUGCCUACUAUGCUGAUUGGCAAGGAGCUAAAGUAAGAUUCGUCAAUCUGAUGAAGAAAUUCACAAAUGUUGCAGCCCCAUCGCAACAAGAAAAUUUUUAGGCUGCAGACUCUGCUCAGCCUGCUGAAGAACAUGCCAGCACCGCUGAUGACUUUCAACCUGCUAAAGAACAUGCUCGUUCCAGGGCUGGUGAAGAAAUUCCAGCCGCUGAAGAAAUUGCCAGGGCAUCCACUAGUGGUGCGCCUGAAGAAACUGAAAAGAUCGGAGCAACUGCAUCAGUUGCGCCUGAAGAAAAUGAACCAGAUUCCUCAGCUCCUCACAUGCCCACACCAACUCCAGUUCUUCCAUCUGCUUCUGAUGUGAAGAAGACCAAGGCUGCAGAGCGAGCUGCAGUGAAGAAAAGGAAGGCAUCAGCUGCGUCAAACUCUUCGGCUGCGAAGAAAAUGAAGCCAAUGACCAGCUCACUCGAAAAUCCAAUUGAUGCUGUUCCGAUUUCCUCCAUGCCAUCAAAGGAUCUUGUUCCUUUUGGAGAAUACUAUGAGAUCCCAAGCGGAUCUGAUGAAGAAAAUCAUUCUGCUGCUUCGUCAGAGCAGAUUGAUGAAGAAAUUGAAGUGGAAGCAAUCCCUUCAACCCCAAUCAUUUCCUCGCCUAUGCCUCAGUUCACAGCUGAAGAGGCUGGUGUUGAGGAACUUGAAGAAGAUGUGGAUAUUGGAAGCACAACGCCAGUGAUGAACAAUGACUUUUGGGAAAGUCAACAUCCAAAUUCUCCACUCUUCACCCCAAUCCAACAGAUACCUCAGUCCCCUGCUCCAACUGUUCAAAUGGGAUCUCAAGAAACUCAUCCCACUUCAUCUGUCCAUGAAGAAAUUCCAGCCACUAGUGCUGAUGAACCUGUUGCUGCUGAUCCUCAGACUGCACCUGUCGAGGAACAAGAAAUUCCUCAGCCUGAAGAACCUGAGCUCGCGAUUCCUGAGGUGGUGAUGCAACUCACUGACACCCCUUUGCCAAAGCCAAAGAAUCCGUUCUCAAGCAAACAGAAGUUCAAGGCUGAAGAUUUCUUUGCCGAGCACGUAUUCUUCACUGAUUAUAAUCCAUAUGAUUCUGCUCGCAUAAGGAAGAGGCGUUUCUGGACUGCCAGCCAAGCCAAUUUCUAUUCCUCAGUGCUCUUCAACAAAGACAAAGUCUUCGAUCAUGCACAUAUUCCUCAUGUGGACAUGGAGUCUCUGCCCGGCUUUGAGCCAGUCCUCAGUGUUCUUCACGACGCAGGACUUUUGAAUUUCUGCAUUGAUAUCUGUGACUGGAAUGAAGAACUCAUUCUUCAACUCUAUGCAACUCUGCACAUCACCGGAGACGCUGAAGACGUGAACUCAUGUGUAUUAGACUGGAUGUCUGAAAAUACUCACUACAAGGCACCAGCAACUGAAUUGCUUCAUGCUCUACCACUCAGUCCUCCACUUGAUGGUGCUCGUUGUAUCUACAACGAACCAGAACUUUCAAAUCACUAUAUGCAAGUGUUGAUGAAGCCUUUGAAGCCAAGGCAGGCCCCAUGAACCAAAUUCCUCGUCAAGGAAUUACUCUAUGUGCCUCGGACUGUCUAUCGAAUUCUGACGAAGACAAUGAGUCUCAUCAAAGGCCACGACUCAAAUGAUGAAGAAGUCGUUGGCAUCAUGAAGAAUAUGCUUUUCAACAUCAUUCAUGGCGUUCCCGUCAACUUCCAUGAUUUCUUCAUGAGGACUCUGGCCAAUAUUGCUAUGUCACCAUUCGAGCUGAAGCCCUAUGCUCCUUGGAUUAUGAGAUUCAUCAGGGCAAGAUCUUCACUGAAUUACAAAGCUGACACUCUGAACCAUGGUAGCUACUUGCCUCCCAUUGAAGUCCUCAAACGGACAGUUUCAUCAGCUGAUGAUAAAGGCAAGGCCGCUGCUGUGAUCGAUGAAGGCAUUCGUCCAUUGGAUGGUCAAUUUCGCAAGGCUGCAUCUUACUCUACCAAUGACGAUUCUGCCACACAUGACUCUGCCGCAAAUACCUCAGCCAAGCAAAAUCCUCAAGCCACAGCACCCAGGGUGAUGACUGACCGUGAGUUACUCCUCAGUCUUCAUCAGAAGGUUGAUCGCAAUCACAAAUGGGUAAAGCGUCAGUUUGGUGCUCUUCUUCACAAUAUGACCUCAACACACAAUGCAGUGAAGAAGAACCAAUACUACCUUCAUGAAACCUUCAACCGCACCUGGGCUGUCCUCACUCAUGUCGAUAGCGCUGAAGAACUGAAGAUUAUGGGUCUCAAGGAAGAAUUUGACUGGUCUGCACCUCCUCCGAAGAAAUUCAAGAGCGUCAAAAUUCCUCCACUGGUGGCCAGCUCUUAUUCUUCAUCGCGUGACACUGAUGAGUAUGAAGAUUUGGACGACACUGCGGCAGGCCCUGCUACAACAAACAACCCUGACAACGCUGGCGCCCCUCCAUUGACUUGAAAUUCUUCAAGGGCGUUAGUCCUCAGUUUCAAUCCUUUUGGUCAUUUGAUGACAAAGGGGGAGAAAUCUGAGUUAGUCUUCAAGCGGGUCUAUAUUAAGGGCAUUUUUUUAAGUUACAACUCUCGUUCUUCUGAAACUUUUAUUUGGAUCGAGUUGUAAUCUUAAACCCGAUGGUGCGCUGAUACUUUUGUUGCAUUAUGCUUUGCAUGCUUAUUCCUCGUUAAUGACAUUGCACGCAUGCUGAAUCUCAUCAGGCACCAUAUUUCAUCAUGCAUUUCAAAUUCUUCAUAUUAUAUAUCAAAUGCGUGUAUGAAUUACAAGAUAUAGGGGGAGAUCUCCAUGAUUCAACUCUUCAAAUGUGCAUUGCCUCAAAAGAAAAUUCCUCACUAUGCACAUCUUCAGGGGGAGUUCUUCUAUAUCUUGUAAUCAAAUUCCUCAAUAUCAGUGUAUACACUUCAUAUGUUUAUCCCCGUUGAAAACUUAACCUAUGUUGUCAUCAAUCACCAAAAAGGGGGAGAUUGUAAGUGCAUCUAGUGCCCCUUAGUGAUUUUGGUGUAUUGAAGACUUAUAGGUUAAGGGACUAAUGCGUGUGUGAGUGUACACAGGUCUAUAAGUCUAUGAGGAGUUUGAUAUUUAAGAGAAAGUCGACCCCUAAAAAUGAAGUUCUUCAACUGAAGGCUUUGAUAUUCUGAAGACUUUGAAAGUGAAGAAAUUGGUGUGACCUUGAAGACUUGGUAUUCAUUUGUGGAACAUGAAGCGUGAAGACUUUUGUUUUUGUAGUUUCAUUUUCUCUUUCUUGAGUCAUAGGAAACACCGUACUAUUAAAGGGGUCGAGGAAAUACUAAGGAAAAAUUUCCAUGUGAUGCUCAACUCAAAAUCCUACACCUACCAAUCCCUUCGAGUGAAGCCUUUGGAAAUAUCAUACAGUUCAGUCACUUUCUUCAGUGACAGAGACGAAGUUCUUCUGGUCGCUGAUGAAUUUGUUCUGACUGAGGAGUUAGGAAUUCGUCAGUGCGAAUUACCUACACAGUGAGGAACAUGAUAGCCCUGAGGAAUUUGAUAGUCAAAUUUCCGACCGUUGCUGUGCUACGCGCCAGCUGUCCCAAAAUAUCUUAUCCACCUAACGGUCAUAUCAGACAAGGGCAUUUAUGUCUUAUCAUGCCGGGCUGCUCCCUAGGCUAUAAAUAGCCGCCCCCCACAACCACUAGCUGGUUGGCUGCUCCGAGAGAACUUGACACUUGUCAUUUGAGAGCAACCCAUCCUCCGAGGACUUUGAGCGAAAAUCAUCGAGUGAGGAAAACCCAAAACCAAACCCCUACAAACCCAAAGUGAUUGAGCAUCACUGAAGAAAUUGAUCCUGCGUGGAUCUGACGCUUGUUACCUUUGAAGAUUGUGCUUCUUCCAGACGGUUAGGCGUCAAGGUCUAGAGCAUCCAAGAAGAAUUGUGGAUCGCCGAGUGACCAAGUCUAUGAAGGUUUGGAAGUCGCCUGAAGACUUACCACGAGUGAUUGGACGAGGUCUGUGUGACCUUAGUUCAAGGAGAAUAUGGUGAGGACUGGGUGUCCUGAGCUGCGUGCUCAGCGACUGGGUGUCCGGGACUGUAUGUCCUCGAGUUUAAAUACUCAGCCGCUCCAACCAGACGUACAACUGAGACAGCAGUUGGAACUGGUCUACCAAAUCAUUGUCUUCACCAACCUAACUGGUUCUAUUUCCUCAACCCUUUCAUUUCCUCAUUACUGUGUUGAAUGUUUGUUCAUAUCUGUGUUUGAAGACUUUGACUGAAGAUUUUCUCAAUUUCCUCAGUUCAAUUUCUUCAAUCUGUUUGUCUUCAUCUUGUGUUAUCCUGUGAUUACGCUUUCUGUGCUCUGUGCUAGUCUUCAUUUCAUCAUGAUGACCAUGCUUGUAUUCUGUUAUGCUUACUUCUGAGUACUUAUUCCGCUGCUAAUAGUUCUUCGCUAAGGAAUUUCCUCACCGGCAGAUUCCUCAGUGAAGAAUUCAUAAAAAUCGCCUAUUCACCCCCCCCCUCUAGUCGACAUAAUGCACUUUCACCAACUCCCAUACUGCAAAGGGCCAAACGAGUGGUAUGGUCUUUAAAGCUGAGGCGGGCUUGUGUGACAUAUUGGAGUAAAAUUGACAUCCCUCACACUUGUCGACUAUCUCCUUUGCCAUUUCAUUCGCUCUUGGCCAAUAAAAUCCGGCUCGGUAUGCUUUGGCCACAAUGGUCCGGGAAGACGCAUGAUGGCCACAGGUCCCCGAGUGGAUGUCAUCAAGGAUUAUUCGACCUUCCACCGGCGUUAUGCAUUUCUGACCAACUCCAGUCGCGCUUUCUCUGUACAGCUGCCCCCUUAUCACAGUAAAGGCUUUAGAUCGGCGGACAAUCUGUCGAGCCUCUUCUUCGUCCUCUGGGAGCUCUUUCCUCAAGAUAUACGCGAUAUACGGUACUGUCCAAUCGGGAGUGAUCACCAAAGCUUCCAUGAUCAGGUCGACCACUGCUGGAACUUCAACCUCAGUCGGAUCCAUAACACUCUUAGGUUGCGGGGCUUCGUCGGUAAAAGGAUCUUCUAUGACUGAUGGAGUAUGGAUAUGCUCCAAGAACACAUCACUGGGGAUGGCUUCUCUCUUGGAUCCUAUCUUCGCCAAAUCAUCAGCCGCUUGAUUUUUCAGUCGGGGUAUAUGGUGGAGCUCUAACCCUUCGAAUUUCUUUUCGAGCUUCCUCACUGCAUUGCAGUAUCCAGUCAUGGCUGGGCUUCUAACGUCCCACUCCUUCAUCACUUGAUUGACCACCAAAUCUGAGUCGCCAUAAACCAUAAGGCGACGGACGCCGAGUGAAAUGGCCAUGCACAACCCAUACAAAAGUGCUUCAUAUUCUGCUUCAUUGUUGGAGGAAUCAAAGUGGAUCUGGAGCACAUAUCUGAGCUUAUCUCCUCGGGGAGAAACCAAAACUACCCCAGCACCAGAACCAUUUAACAUCUUAGAGCCAUCAAAGAACAUGGUCCAAUGCUCCGAGUGAACUUGAGUCGGCUGCUGUUGUUCAAUCCACUUGGCAAGGAAAUCUGCUAUAGCCUGGGACUUAAUGGCUUUCUUUGCCUCAAAUUUGAUAUCAAGGGGAAGGAGUUCAAUCGCCCAUUUAGCCACUCGACCAGUUGCGUCUCUGUUGUGCAGAAUCUCUGACAAUGGUGCGUCGCUGACGAUUGUAAUGUCAUGGUCAGAGAAAUAAUGAGCAACCUUCUUCAUGGUCAUGUAGAUCCCAUAUACGAGCUUCUGAUAAUGAGGAUAUCUUUGCUUCGAUGGAGUCAAAACUUCAGAGAGAUAAUACACUGGGCGCUGAACUUUGAAGGUUUUACCUUCCUCUUCCCGCUCGACCGUAAGUACUGUACUGACGACCUGUCCUGUGGCUGCAAUGUAAAGCAACAGAGGCUCUUUGCUGAUUGUAGCAGCAAGCACCGGCUGGGUGGAGAGCAGAGCUUUUAGCUCGGCAAACGCUGCAUCAGCUUCUGGAGUCCACUCGAACUUGUCUGCCUUCUUCAUCAGUCGGUAAAGAGGCAACACCUUUUCACCGAGGCGAGAGAUGAAUCGACUUAACGCGGCCAAGCAUCCAGUAAGUUUCUGGAUGUCGUGCACACGCACAGGGCGUUUCAUUCGGAGUAUGGUGCCAACUUUUUCUGGGUUAGCAUCGAUUCCUCGUUCUGAAACGAGAAAACCGAGUAACUUUCCGCCAGGUACUCCGAAUGUGCACUUUGAUGGAUUGAGCUUGAUAUCAUACCUCCUGAGAUUGGCAAAUGUUUCAGCUAGGUCAGUCAACAGGUCAGAACCCUUUCGUGACUUGACCAUGAUAUCAUCCAUGUACGCUUCCAUAUUCCACUGAUUUGAGUGAGUAAACACUUUUGAAUCAUUCUCAUGAACGUGGCUCCGGCAUUCUUGAGACCAAAUGGCAUGGUGAUAUAGCAGAAGCACCCGAAUGGAGUGAUGAAAGCUGUUUUGAUUUCGUCAGGUCCAUACAGACGGAUCUGAUGAUACCCGGAAUAAGCGUCUAAAAAAGACAAUCUCUUGCAUCCCGCAGUUGAGUCGACAAUUUGGUCGAUGCGAGGGAGAGGAAAAUGAUCUUUUGGGCAGGCCCGAUUGAUAUGUUUGAAACCAAUGCACAUGCGAAGUGAGUUGUCCUUCUUGGGAACCAUGACGACAUUGGCGAGCCACUCGGAGUGGUAUAUCUCUCGGAUAAACUCUGCUGCAAGGAGUCGAGCCACCUCCUCGCCAAUGGCUUUUUUCUUCUGAAUGGCAGACUGUCGAAGAUGUUCUUUAACAAGUUUCACUUUUGAGUCGACUCUAAGGCAAUGCUCAGCCAGCCCCCUGGGAACACCCGGCAUGUCAGCUGGCUUCCAUGCAAAGAUGUCCCAGUUCUCACGGAGGAACUGGAUGAGCGCUUCUUCCUAUUUAGAGUCGAGUGUUGUGGAAAUAUGGGUCAGAGCUGCAUUGGGGUCAGUCAGGUGGAUAUGAACUGGCUUCGUCUCCCCUGACGACUGGAACGCUGACUCUGUGGCGGGCUUCUUGGCCCGCAGCAAAUCACUCGGAUCUGCAUUUUUCUUGUAUCCUUCCAGCUCUACCACUGUUAUCUGGGCAUCCGCAAUCUUCGAGCCUUUCUGGAAACACUCUUCUGCCUUCUUCCGGCUGCCAGUGAUAGUGAUCACUCCUUUGGGGCCAGGCAUCUUUAAUUUGAGGUACACAUAACAUGGUCGAGCCAUGAAGCGGGCAUAGGCUGGUCUUCCCAAAAUAGUGUGGUAAGCGCUCUGGAAAUCCACGACUUCAAAUGUCAGCUUCUCUUUGCGGAAAUGCUUCGAGUCGCCGAACACUACAUCCAAAGCUAUUUGACCGAGUGACUCAGCCUUCUUUCCAGGAAUGACUCCGUGAAAACUCAUGUUGCUGGAGCUGAGUCUGGACAUCGGAAUGCCCAUUCCCUUGAGCGUCUCUGCAUACAGUAUAUUCAACCCACUGCCGCCAUCCAUCAAUACCUUCGUCAGUCGAGUGCCUUCGACGACUGGGUCGACCACCAGCGCUUGCCUCCCAGGGGUGGCAAUGUGAGUAGGGUGAUCGGACUAGUUGAACAUAAUGGGAGUUUGCGACCAUUUCAGAUAGCUUGGUGUCGCCGGGGCGACCAUAUUUACCUCUCGGUUGAUCACUUUCAGUCGACUUUUGCUCUCUACAUCAGCAAAAAUCAUCAGGGUGGAAUUGACAUGAGGGUACCCUCCAUCACUGUCCUCCUUGUCCUCGGCCUUGUCCGACUCCUUCUCUUUGUCCUUGGGUUGUUUUCCUUGAAACUGCUGGAUUAAGAGCCGGCACUGGCGAGUGGUAUGUUUCGGGUAGAUGAAGUUACCCUCUUCGUCUUUCUUCGUGUGGAUGUGACACGCUAGAUCUAUCACGUCAUUUCCUUCUUUAUCCUUUACCUUCUUGGGGUUCCAAGAUCCUUUGGGCUUCCCUUUGAAUUUUCCCUGAGUCACGGCCAGAGCCUCUCCAGGAGCAGCUGGCUCGGCCUUCCGCUUCUGCUUCCGACUGGAGUUUCCUUUUUCCGAUUGACUCGGCUUAUACUUGCCACUCCGGAGCCUGUCCUCUUCUUCACCGUUAGCGUAUUUGGUAGCAAUCUCCAUCAUUCGACUCAGGGUCAUAUCUCCGGUUCGACCAAACUUCAGGCUCAACGCUCUGUUCUUGACACCAUCCUUGAAGGCGCAUGCCGCUUGAUGGUCCGACACAUUCUCCACGGUAUGAUGCAAAGUGAUCCAUCUCUGGAUGUAAUCUCUCAAUGUCUCACUCGACUUUUGUACGCAGACUUGCAGCUCGGUCAAUCCGGCCGGUCGCUUGCAAGUUCCUUCGAACGUCCUGACGAACACUCAGGAAAGAUCUUCCCAGGUGUAAAUGCUGCUAGGAGCUAACUGAUUCAACCACGCCCUGGCCGAACCCUCUAGCAUGAGUGGCAAGUGCUUCAUGGCCACCUCAUCAUUACCACCACCAAUCUGUACCGCCACUCGGUAGUCUUCAAGCCAAGUUUCAGGCUUGGACUCUCCGGUGAACUUACUUACCCCAGUCGCCAACCUGAAGUUGGGGGGUAUCACUGCGGCUCUGAUGGCUCUGCUAAAGCAUUCUGGACCUGAAACAUGGACUCGGCUGCUAGUGGGCACAUCUCUGUCAUGGCCACCUCUAUGAGCUCUGUUCCAAUCGACCAAACCUUGCACGAUGAUGGAUCUCGCGUCAAAGCCUGGUUCUCUGGGGUCGACCGGAGCUCUCCGCACAACACUGAGCUGGCGCCUGUCAUCUUGCUGCCGAUGGGCGUUAGACCCACUUCUCGGGGGAGGAGUGGGCACUCGACGCCUAUCAUCACGAUCAAAUCGGUCAUCAUAGUGGUCCCGCCAGCCUUCACGUCCCACGCGCCUCGGAGGUGACCUUGGGCUGUGAGCCGACUAAACAGUAUUCGCAGCGACGGAUCGACUGUGAAUCCUGUUACGCGACUGUGACACAACUGAAUUCUGAUAUCCUGCCGCCCGGAGCAAAUCCCUGAUCUGCAUCAAGCCUCUUCCAGCCUCCGACUGAGAGGGCUGAAUUGACUCCGCUAUACGGGCUGCAGCUGCCAAAUUCGGAAUCGGGGUUUGAUAUACCUGAGUCGGUUGCGGAAAGAGCUGACGUCGGCUGGAGUCGGGUACUCGUUGACGCGCACGCUCGUCGAGUGCUCGCUGGAGGUUCUCCAGUCGAGUGCGUUCAGCCAAGUUGGCCAAACGCGCCUCUUCCAAAGCACGAGCCUCAGGAGUUUCUCCUGCGAUGGGAGUAUGCAAGGCAUCCAUGUUCCGGCGGCGAAGAUCUUCUCUUUGCUGAGAAGUGAGCGGCUCGGGCUGAUAUUCUUCGUGGGCCUGAGCGGGGUCGCCUCCAUCGUCCAUCCCGUCGAUGCGGGGGAAACCGGGAGGGCUACGAGGCCCGUUGACCAUCAGGACCUCCGCCGCUGGAUCACUGCUGUCGCACUCGGAUGCAGUCUCUACGGAGCCAGUCGACAGAUCGAACAUGCCGUAGAGAGAUUCGUCGGGCUCAAUUGCCGCAACUUGGGUGGUGGCCGAUUGGCGAGCCACUGCGUGUCUCACCCAUCGCUGAAGCCUCGACCGACCGGAGCGCUUGCGCUGGCGGGAGACAGGGAGGGAGGACGGCACAGGAGUCGACCAGUAUGGGGUUGACGGCUGCCGCAGUAGGACGCCGCGGACACACGCCCGAAAGUGCGUCGCCCCGCGGACGGGGAGCGCGUCGAUGUCGAGUGGUGCCUCCUGGAGCCAAACGGAGUCGUCGGCGAUGAAAGCGAGCGCACCGAGACGGAUCUCGCGGCCCUCGACCAGAGCUCCGCCAGAAACCAUGAUGAAGGCAAUCGGACAAAUUGCAACUUCUCCAAAAAGUCGCUAAGACACCUGCCCCACGGUGGGCGCCAACUGUCGUGGUUCUAAGUCUGACAGUAGAAUGGGGGGUAGGUAUGGAGAGGCAAGAUCCUAGCUAUGGAGUAGUUGUACACACGAGUGUUUUACGAGUUCAGGCCCUUCUCGGAGGAAGUAAUAGCCCUACGUCUCGGAGUCCGGAGGCGGUCGACUGGUUUCUGUAUAUAUGAGUUACCGGGGUGCGAACCCUUUACACUGAGGAGGGGGGUGGCUUAUAUAGAGUUCGCCAGACCCCUCCGGCCCUCAGUUAUGCAGGGUUUAAAGUACAUUAAGACAGGGGGUUACUGGUAACGCCCUCAUAAAGUGCCAUGAAGACUAUUAAAGCUACUUAAUGACAGACUGUUGCGUGUUGAGUGACUUUAGGUCUCCUGGCCGUCGAGUGGUUAGCUUCAUGGUCGAGUGGCUAUCUUCAUCGUCGAGUGUCCUUGAGUUCGUCGAGUGAAGUCCCUCUUGGUCGACUGGAAGGUAGCUUCUUCUAAGGAUGUCCUUGGGUAGGGUAUCCUAGAUGGGUCCAUGACCCUACCCUAGGUACAUGACUUCAUCACUGCUAUCAUAUGAUGCCCACAAGUACCAUGUGCAGUCUUCAUCACAUUUUGCUUUCACUCUUUUCCUACCAUUCACAGGAAGCUUGAUAUCAACUCUGUUCUGGCAGGAGUACUCUUUAAUUGCUUUCCUUAGAAGCUCCACACUCUCAAAAACCUGCCCUACAUGGAAUUUUGGCCUAUGAAGAUCCUCUGGUCUGAAAUUUUUGAACUUUAAAUGCAUUUCCUCAUCAUCAGAAUCAGGUGCCCACAAAUCUUCACCUUCAGACAAGUCUUCAUCUGAAUUGUACUGCUGCUUGCUUUUGUCUUCAUCUGUAGGUUUCACAUGCUUGACUUGCUCCUUUGAAUUAUUCUUAUGCUUCUGUUCUGGUUCAUCCUCAUCAACAUUAUCUGCAAACAAGUCAUCAUCAUCAUUGCCUAUCUCAUUGUCACUGUCCACAAGUACACCUGGGCCAUAGUCCUCAUCAUCUGUAUCACUUCCAUAUCAUGACUGCUUUUGGUCCUCCUACUUGAUGUGCUUCCUCCAACAUCCUCAUUUGCAACAGCUUGUGCAUCUUUCCCUGCUUCCACUUCAGGGUAUACAACCCGGAGAGGAGUAGGUGCUGCCUCUGGUCCUGCCUCUGGUUCUGCCUCUGCUUCCCCUGUUUCUGCAGUCAUGCUGCUUCCCACUCUCUUUGCAGGACUAAAUACUGGAGGCAAAGUGGCUCUAGGAUAGUUCACAACAUCAUCCUCACUUAGGUUUGCUUGUAAGCUCUCAUCAUGAUCAAGAUAUAUAGUAAAGGAGUGGUGCCCAAUAUCAAUAAACAUCAACAUUCUAUCUCUCUGCUCAGCAUCACUAAGCUGCCUGAGACCAUUAUUACUGAGUGUAAGGAUGGGGACACAAUAGUAUACCUUCAACCUCCCUGCCAUCUCAUAACCAAUCUCCUCAACAAGGUGUUCAAUCAUAAUUGGUGACCAAGUGACCUUUUCCAGAUUAUCGUACCAAAUGGCACGACCAUUAACAUAAGCACGAUUACUUCCAUGGCCAACAAAAAAUCCACCAUGGUUGAUUUGCACAGAGAAGUUGGUGCUUCGAGGGCCUGAUACACAAGACAGAAACAUCAUGCAUCAUAAUUGACUAUAGCAUCAUUUCAUUCAGAGUAUCUAAAACCCUAACCCCCAAAGACCAUCAAAUCCAAUACCGAAACCCUAGUACAAUCCAUCGAAACUACCAGCUGCAUACCAUCUAUAAUGACAAUGCGGGCCAAAAAGGAGUGUCUUUGAACAUCAAAACGCAAAAAAAGUCGGAUUUACGCAAGAUGAAACUUACUGUACACGGGGGGAGGCGCCCCUUCUGCGCGACGAACAGGGGCCAUCGCCACCACCUACCGCCGGUGGAAUUGAUGCGGCGGCGGCGCCUCUCCAGCCACGGAAGAAAUCAGCACGCGGCGGCGCCUGUAGGCCGAUGAUCGCCGGGGCGGCGGCGCCUAUGUAGCGCCUUCCCUGUCUCCAAUCGAAGACGAAGAGGCGUCGUCAGAGUAGGGAUGAUUGGGGGGAUUCGGACAUGCCCGAGGGGUUUUUCGCUUAUUAUGCACAGCGGCCGGUGCGCGGAUCGCCACCUGUCCCCAACGACUGGUCAACAGGUGGUCAAAGGAGCGGCUACUCACCGCAUAUGACCAACAGUGACGGUACAUUCACGUCACAUCGUAUAUAGUGACCGUAACAACCGUAUUUCUAAGUUCAGUGACCGUAUCGGGUUUUCGUCGCAACUACGCUGACCGUGAGUGUAAAGCGCUUCCCCUCACGCACUUCCGCGCGCGGGCGGGCUCGCCGCUCCUCCUCUCCGCGGACGCCACCUCCGCCGCGCGCAAGGGCUCCGGCGCGCCAGGUACUCCGCAUUCCUCCAUGGAAUCGCAGGCUGUUCUGCUCGGGGGCUAAUCGGGGGGAUUAUUUCGCCGUGUUUUUUUUUUGGGGGUAGGGAGGAGCAGGGCCUCGAGGUACGACGCGGGAGCGCCUCCGAGCAGAGCAGGUACACAGUGGCGGAACAGAUGUUUCGGCUUAGUUUUGCUGUUUGUUUCGUCAGUUACUCCGCAGGCUGCUUAUCUGAUGAAUCGUCGUGAAUUUUCUCCUUUUACUGAAGGGAGGGGUGGGGUCUGGAAGCGUCAUGAUCCGGAGGAUUCACCGCGCCGAACAGGUAACAAAAUGCUAGCACUAUGUUGGUAAAUUACUGUAUUUUAUCCCUGGCAUUUGUUACUCCAUAUUCAAAUUACUUUACACAUUCUUUUCCCAAAAGGGGGUUGACUCCGGCCUCUGCAUCAUUGUGAUGCACAGGGUGAUAAUUACUUUACACAUGUAAAAAAUUAGUAAAUAACCAAGGGCCUCACCUAAGGCGAGUUCAGGCUGUACCCCUCACCAGCCAUAUAUUUCUUUUGUGUGAAUACUGAAAGAUGCCUGUCUGAGUGAAUUAAUGUAAGAUAAAGCAAAGUACAAAAGCUGGGAAUGACCCCGUGAACAACAUGAUCCUCCCUAGUGUAAUACAGUAUUGUACUUCAUCUCUGUGUUAGGCUGAUUGUCUGAUCCAAAUCUCCUGUGCUUUUUAGGGAUGAAUGGAGUUCCAAAGCUUAAUCCCAAAUUCUCCACCAAAAGAGCAGGUAAAGAGCGCUCCUUGAAAUACUAUAGCUUAGUUCAUCACUUUAAUCAAAUUUCUGUGUUUCUUAGGGACGAGUAAGGUUCCGAUUAUUAAUUUCGAGGUUUCUCAUCACCGAGCAGGUAAAAUGUUAAUGUUAUGUUUUUUUAUUCUGAUAAUCAUAUUUGCUUCACCUGUAUGAAUCUCUGGUAAUGAUCUAAUCAUUCCUAAUGUUUGUGUUGUUGCCUUGUUGGAGCAGUUGCAGCGGUGAGGUUGCUAAGAGCUGACAAGGGGAAGGCAUUUGUUGAUCUUUUAAAUGAGAAAGCAAACGACUCUGGGGAAAAUGAGAUGGGCUAUGUAGAAAGGACGUUAGGGUUCAGUACACGGCAUUUGGAUGACAGGGAUAUAAGAUUGGUAAAAUUCAUAUAUCUCACAUGUUCAAAUGUUUGUUCUGUCUAUGAAUUUCAGUUUCUUUAGGGAUGCUUACACUAUGUUGGGUUAUUGCUAGGAAAUAGGGGUAUAAUGCUGUGAGAGAAACAACUCUUUUGUUGCAGCAGCAUAAUGAUGUUAUCUGUAUUUGAUGAACAUACAGCUAACUAGUUGUCAGUUUUGUUUCUUCACUUUCUUGUAUCACUAUGCCUCUGAUACAGGGUGUCAUGAUGAACAUAUUGCACAAAUGGCUCAGUAGCAGUGUAACAGUAUAACACACCUAAGACGACUUGUCUAUGCCUGCUUAGGAAUCCAAACCUUCUGAUUCUCUUAUGGUUGGAUUGUUAGGUUACUGUCAUAGUAGCUGGAACUGUACGUUGGAAAAGCUACAUUGAUUAUCUUAUCAUGUCACUCUAGUGAAGAGAAGGUGUUCGGCAACAUGGAACCGCUGCUGCUGCAGAUUUGUCCUAUAUUUCUUACAGCAUAUAAUCUCAUUGAAUACCAAUUGCAGAAGUUUACUCCUGCUUGUAAAAUAUUUGAGGUUAACACUUCUGAUUUCAGAUAUUGCGAAUUGGCUUCUUUGAAAUUCUCAAACUUAAUGUACCAGCUUAUGCUGUCGUUGAUGAGGUAUGUUGAAGUAUUUAACAUGUACUGGAAUUAAGUUAGCCCUUCGUUUGUUUUUUGGUUGACCAAAAAGUUAAAUGCGGCAACUGGUAUCUCUUAAUUAAAGUGAUUUCCUUCCUGUUUAUUUAAGUUCCAAAGAACAAAUGCGGGCAUGUGAUACUGAGCUCUUUUUCUUAUCAUUUCAUAAUACAAAAGUUACGCUAAAUGCUGUAGAUGGUUGUGUUGCUGUUCUCUGAUAGUUGGCAUGCUGGAUAUAAAUCAUUACGACAAUAGCCAGUAUGCUACACCCGAACCCCAAAAGGAUGAUGUGGUUAUGUUCCUGUUUUAAUAUCCUGAAGAUCUACCUUGUUACUGUUCUUUGUUAUAUGGUGGUUUUCAAACUUGGUGUGUCCAUUAUUUGAGGUUGACAUGUAGUAUUAUAUUAUUGUUGUCAGUUGUACUAAAGUCUGAAGCCAAUAUCACCAGACAAUAUAUUUGCUUUGUUUUCAAAAGGAACCUGAUAAUGUGUCUUGCAAACCGAAUUUUAGAAUGUAAGGCUCGCGAAAGUAGCUUUAAGGCCCGGUGCUGGGAACAUGGUGAAUGCGAUUCUGCGUAAACUUCUGUUACUGAAGGUAAAACCUGGUGUACUCAGACUAGUCAGUAGGGUUAUGCUGUAAGCCUGUAACGUUAUUGUGUUACUUUUAUAAUUAGGAGACAGAUUCUCUUCCUCUUCCAAAGAUAGAAGGUGAUGAUCGUGCCCAAGCUCGUGCUCUUUCCAUAAUUUAUUCUCAUCCUGUUGUAAGUUUGCUUUCCCAAGCUUUAGUUCUCAUCAUCUUGUAAGUUUGCUUUACUUCCUAAACUUAAUUGACUUCUGUUUUAAAAUUUUAAAGCGUCAAAUGCUUCGUUCGUACAAUCAAUAGGUUUACUGCACUGUUGAUAACAUUCGAAUUGAACUCAUGCCUGUUAUCAAUCAGUGUCCUUGUUAACUGGAGUAAUGUACCUGUGGGGAAUUCGGGAAGUGCAUGGAUGAACCCGGGUACAUAUGAACCCACUUUGAAAAACACAUUUCUACAUGGGGAAUUCAAUAUUUCAAUGUACUGCUAUUUCUGACGUUUCUUAAGAGCAUAAUAUAGGAUUGGUAGACAUGUUUUGUAAACUGUAAUAUGUUUUCUGCUCUGCAGUGGAUGGUGAGAAGGUGGAUUCGAUUUCUUGGAAAAGAAGAAGCUCUAAAAUUGAUGAAUUGGAAUAACAGUGACCCUCAUUUCAGUUUAAGGUUUCAAUUUUUAAGUGUGCUCUACUGCUCUUCUGUGAAUUGCAAAUUACCUGCUCAGCUGCUCUGUUUAUGCGUGUGUUUCUGAUUGACUGAUCUUUGUGCCAUAGGGUGAACACAACAAAUGGCUAUACAAGGGAUGAUCUUGUUAACCGAUUGGAAGAUUUGCAGGUACUUACGUUAAUUCUUAGUACCUGAGUUCCAUCCUAUUUAUGGCUAAGGUAGGAAAAAUAUAAGAGCCAUGCUAUUUAGCUACAUAUGAUUUAUCCAAUUUAGUAGUCAUGUUGGGGUCAUACUCUGCCUUGAUUAUUUGCACUGGAUUUCAUCGCUUGAUUUUCUUUUGUGUAGGUUCACUGCGAAAAGUCAAUUAUGGACGAAUUUGUCCGCAUUUUUGUGAGGGCAUGCAGGUAAGGAAGCUGAACAGUUAGUUCCGUGACCACUGCACAACUGGUGUUUGCCAAACCAAUGUGUUCUAUUCAUAUCCUCUUAAUUUCUUUCGGAACACAAUAUGUUUAGGAUGCUUAUAAAUAACAGUGUUCAAAGUCUUCUAAAUUGGAUGUGGACAAUAAGAUACCACACUUGACUUCAGUCCAAGGAAGUGAGACGCCGGGAGUGUAAAAAUUAAAUGUUUAAGAAAUAAAACUGAAAUACUGCAUUUCGAUACUAUUAGCUAGAAAGGAAAGGAUAGCGCUAUACUUCUGGUGCGGGCGCAUUGAAUAAAAAUUAAUAUUUAAGAAAUAAUGCUAUUGCUAUGGAGCACAAAGCACUACAAUCCAGCAUACAUUUCAUUUUAGAAAAUUUAGUUGUGUAUCAUACAAGUUCAUUUAUAUUCAAGAAGUAACCUGUGCAGCAUCUGUGGGCGCACAAUUUCCCCAAUUCGCCCUUAAUCCAUAAGAAACUCUAGUGAUUUCUAAUUGCAAUAUUGCAUUAGGUCUGCACCUUUUCUUAUAAUGCCUCUCGAGAUACUGGCUGGUAUCUUGAUAGCUUAAUUUCUUCCUUGCAGGCAGUCUUACAAGCUGGAUUACUGAAAGAAGGCAUGUGUGCCGUGCAGGAUGAGAGUGCAGGCAAGUCGUGAACGUUACUUGUUGACCACCUUUUAUUUAUUAUAAAUGGGAUUAUGGUAUCAAAUGAUUUUCACUACGACUACAUGCUGAUGUAGAAAGAACUAUUCACUAUUAAGCUUUAUAUUAUACUCCAUUACGUUAAGUAUUUACCCUUUUUCCUUAUACGGUUCCAAGUCUUGGUAACAACAGCAAGUUUCAUUGAAGAUCGCUAUAGAUAACCCGCACUAAGAUUUACAGAACCUAUUGCAGGUUUUGUUGUGUCUGUGGUCGAUCCACAACCUGGGGAAACAAUCAUGGAUUGUUGCGCUGCACCUGGCGGGAAGACUUUGUUCAUGGCAUCCCGGCUGGCAGGACAAGGUGAGAGAUUGGAAUGAGGGAGUUCAAUUUUAUGUUGAUAUUGCGACUGGAGAACUGUGGGACCUUGUGCUAGUGUCUAUCUUUUCCUUUCUGGCCAUGCAUCUAUAAUGUGUUUUUGUUAGUAUGCUAUGAUUUUUGCGAAAGAACUUGUGAGCAAAAUGCUCAAAUGAAUCACUUUUCAUAUGUUAUUCUUGACAGCCUGCUCAGGGUGCUAUGCACCGCCGGCAUAAUCGGUUGUUAUGACCUAGUAACGUGUGCCAGUGUCUGCCGUUGUUAGCUUAAUUUGUCAGAUAUAAACAUAGUUAAAAAAGGCGCGCCUAAGCGAGCGCUUAAGCGCGCCUAGGCUCUAGGCGUUGGCAAAACGCAUUGCGCAUAACUACGCAUAAUCUGUGCAUAACUGCGCAUAAGCAUGCGCUUUGGUCAGUAAAGCGCAAGGCGGUGGCAAAACGCACAAUUAACGCCUAGCGCUUUUUUGAACUAUGGAUAUAAAUCAACCAAUGUAUUACAUUUAUGUCCUUCAAAUGUCGCAUCUGAUGCUAUUUAAUAUGUAGCAUCUGAUGCUAUUUAAUGGGUAGCCGGUAUAAAAAUUCUUCACCUUUCAUCUCCACUGAAAACCAGCAUUUGUGAACGUAUACAUUCCACACCAACAAGAAAAUAGUACUCACAGGUCCAGAAUAAUUAAGUUCUAGCAGAUCUGAUCUUGUUAACACAUUAUGUCAUCGAUGCAGAGCGAGCUUCUAAGUCUGGAGUACAUAGUAUACUUGACUUGAUGAUGUGCUAUUAUACAGGGAAGGUAUCGGCUCUUGACAUAAACAAAGGCCGCUUGCAAAUUCUCAUGGAGGCAGCAAAGUGCCACAAUCUUGAUGAUAUAAUCAGUGAUAUCCAUGGUGAUCUUCGACUAUAUGCUGUAAGUUUCCAAGAAACUUCAUAAUUACUAGUCCCCAAAAGGCCUCAAAAAGAAAGAGGAAGCCCCGUAUAUCCAAGAAUAAUGCACCGCCAGUGGAAAUAUUUAUCAGGAAUAUGCCUAUUGACUAUUACGGACUUAUGGUUAAUGUUUUAUCCACACAUAUGAUAAGGAGGCUUAUGCACAUGAGACUUGUAUUGCAGAAGGAAAGCACUGCCAGACAAGGUAUUGUUGGAUGCUCCAUGCUCUGGGCUGGGAGUCCUUUCCAAGGUAGCUCUCUUUAUCAAGUUCACUAUUUUCGAGAACUUCACCAUCACAGAGCGUUGUACUGAUCCGAAUCUGGAGUUACAAGUUGGCAAAUUUUGUGAUGAACUAAAGUCACCUUUUCUGUUCCCAAGAGGGCAGACUUGCGUUGGAAUCGGCAAUUCGAAGAUCUGGAGGAGUUGGUGUGUUUGCAAGAUGAGCUCCUUGAUUCGGCCUCAUUGUGAGAUUCUUGCUGUUAUAAGUUUUUAAAAUUUUGUGCAAGCAAAUUCAUCUUGACUGCAUCUAAGAUUACUUUCAAUGACUUUACUUGCAGGUUGGUAAAACCUGGUGGUAUACUAAUAUACAGUACAUGUUCCAUUGACCAUGAAGAAAAUGAGAACCGGGUUACUGCUUUUGUUCAGAGGCAUCCGGUACGAGUUCAUAUUUAAAUUAUGCAUCGAUCCUUCAGGCAUCGAUCCUUCACAAAAUAUACAAACUCAAUAUUCAAUUGAUCUAGGCAAUAUGUCUGUCCUUACAAUUCGGGGUCCUGUUGGUAACUUGGUACUAUUAAGCAUGUACAUUGUUUCUCCCCAAGUAUUAUUAUCACCAAAAUUCUACUCCCUCCGGCCACGACAAUAAUUAUGGAACGGAGGAAUCAAGGCUGCUAAAGACUUCGCUUUCUCUUCAAUCUCAACUAUGCUCUCUUGUGUUUUGUCCUUGAUUCCUCCGUUCCAGUCCUCCUUGUAGUCUUCGGUGAACCUCCUUCCGCAAAGGAUCUCCCUUCUGUGGAAACAUCCAGUGCCAACAUACAUAGGACCGCCCACACUGUCCAUACCACCCAUUAGCACCUUUAGAUUGGGUAGCUAUGUUAGUGGCAGAACAUACAUGCAUAAUGAUUGCUCAUAUUGUGGAGAACAUGAGAACGAAACUGAAGUUACAGUUUGACACCGCUGACCUGAUUGGUGACUUGGUGGGAGUUCCCAUAUAUAUUAUUCUUGGUCAAAUUGUUAUAGUUCUGGGGGAAUUGCACAAAUCCAAUCUUGUGACCCAUUUCUUCAUCAAGGAAGAAACACAGUGCAUCUCUGAUUGUAUCGCAAUUGUUGGAAUACAUAUCACAGUCCACAUUCAUGAUGAUAGGGCUGUUGCUUAUCACUGAUGACACUCUUAUCUGCAUUUCAAUAGAAAAAUUGUCACAUUUUAGAACUAUUCAUUAUGAUCAUAGAAUUCCAACCUUUCAUGGAACACUUGUGAAUAAGUUCUUUUCAUUUCACGCUCUAUUUUGUGCCUUGGUUUUCGUUUGCUAUUUUGCUUGUUUUCAUUGUUGGACGACACCAUCUUGGCGAUUCUUGUAACACAAAUGAUGUGCAAUUGGAUGCGCUUUUGAGAAAAAAGGUCUAGCGGUAGGGAACAAGUUAUUGUUUAUAUCUAAAACCAACAUAUUUUAAGCUCACAUCCAUUGCAUGUAUUUCACAAAAUGCUAGUACUAAAGAAGUGGAGAGUUUUGCACUCCCUCAACUCUACAAACAAUCCAAUGACACACAAAAUGAAUUAUUAUGGUGUGAACUCCAUGGUACAAUUUUCUCAAAGGACAAGAAAUUGCAUGACAACAUUUUGCUAAUUUGGUUACUCUUGCAAACAUUACUGUUUACUUAAACUUCAAAAUUAUGAAUUAGAAUAUGUUGCAACUAAUAUGCUGCUAAGAAUCAGUAUAAGAAAAUGGGCUAAUGAAAACUAUAAAGUUUACUAUAAAUUGUAUGCUUGGUAUGAUGGGGCAAGGUUAGUGAGUGCACCAGAGCAUUCAUUGCCCCAGCUUUGAAAUUAUGGUGGUGCUGAGGCCGCUUCUCCCGUGCCAUGUACACAAGUGUUGGUAGCACAUUUCCUUCGUCAUCAUUUGCAUUUUUGUCUUUGCCCUCCAUCAGAAUCUAGCAAAGGAAAGAAUUAUAUAACUUGAAACUCCCAAAUAACAUGCAAGUUAUUUACCCCAGAAUCAUGCAAACCUUUACUCAAAUUUGGAGGGCAGGAAAGCUACCUGAACAAUUGGCUGGUGAUUUUUUGAGGUAUUUUCUUGAUCCCAUUCAUGAAAUCCUUUAUGAUUUGCUUUGACUUCCUCUGAAAUUUUACCUGACAAAACAGCUCUAUCAAUUCGCUGAGUUAUAUCUUCAUACAUCUCCUGCCCAAAAAUGAAAAAAAAAGUCAGUUGUCAUGCCAAAUGCUGAGCACUAGGGGUAGACUGCGCUUAACAUUAAGCAUCUUAUCUAGUCACAUGUGUGUGUCAUGCCGUUCCCUGUGUAAUAGCCAUUUGAUUACAUGUGUUAAAGAAAAUAUGUUUGGAAAAUCUGCUUACCCUGAUAAGUGACCAUUCCUUUGGGCUGCACAAAUCUUGAUGCCCAUCUGACUCUGAGAAGUAAGCGGCUGGUGACCUUGGCUCAAUGUUAUAUCUCUUGCAGAAUGGUAUCCAAUGCUUUGCAAAUAAGGAGGCCUCCCACAGAGCAUAGAAAGUGAGAAUCGAACCUCCGUCGUCAGAAAGGUACACACUAAUUUUUUCGGCUGGGUAAUUGUAUGCCAUGAGCGAUAGGAUGGUGGAGAUGACAAGACUUGGUGGCUCUGAGUGUGGAUCUGCGGUGCAUACAAAGAUAUCCACAUAAGGUAGCCUCUCUCCAUACCUUCUCCAAAUGACAUAGUAACUGUGUUAAUGCUCAGUGCGGGAAAUACAUGUUUUAAAGCAGUAGAACCUUACACUUGACACUCUUAUAAACCUUCAAAACAAGUCCCUACUUUGGAUCUUGUUUUGGCAGAAAUGAGUCUGAAGUACUCACUCCCUGGUUUAUGGGUUGAGCGUUUAAGGGUGUCUCGAAAUCUAAACAGAUGACGGAGAUGGACCCUUUAAACCGCAAAAAUAAUAAUAUUGAUAUAGGUCCCUUACACCCAUGUGUCUUGAAAUCUAAACAGAUGAUGGAGAUGGACCCUUUAAACCGCAAAAAUAGUAAUAUUGAUAAGCCCUUUAAACCACCACUUUUUUUUUCUUGAGAUAAGCCCUUUAAACCGGAAAGGAGGGAGUAUCUACCUUCUUUUCUAUAGAAAAGGCCUCUCAGUCUAGCUUAUUAAUUUACCUUCUAAGUUAGUGAUCUCUGAUCAUCAAUGUAAGCCCUGUGGCGGUGGCAGAACUAUAAACCUGUGAUGUCAACUAUAAUUACUCCCCAAAUCUUAUAGUAUUUCUGAAUUUAUCCAUGAAAUUUUACUUGUACAUUUAGACGGUUUUGAUCAAAAGCUGUGUAGUCAGUUGACUACACAACCAUAGUGUGGCUUAACCCUUUGUACAGCUGACAACGGUGUAAAACUGCCUCCUAGGAGGAUGUAAAUUCCCUAUCUUUCCAAUGCAAUGAGACGCAAAGGCCAUUUGCGUUUUCUCGAAAAAAGCAUCAAACUUUUGUCUAAUUUGUUAACAGAAAGACAGUUCUGUUAUCUGGCCCGCGUAGCUUUAAAGCUAGCCUAAUGUAGAUUCUCAGUGCACUUAGUGUUGUGUGGUCUGAAACUCAUAGGCUACCAUCUCGUUGAAGUACAACAUAUUAAGAAAUAAGAAUAACGCAGAAGAUAACUAAAUUUAAACUGCAAAAAUAUCUUACAUUAAGCUCAUACUAUGCAAAACACCCGUUAGAAAUUGCCCGCUGUGUUUUGUUAAAUCUGGUACAUUUCUUUUCUUGAAUAUAUGAUUCAUUAUUGUGAGUUUUGACACUGGUCUCGUGUACCUAACUGACUUCAAGAGCUUCAAGAAAAUCAGCCAACAUGCUGAAAUAUGCGGCAUGUUCAUAGCACCUAUAGCAGACAGCCCGGACAUGGCGCAGACAUGAGAGAAGAAAAAAUGUCAUCCAACCGGACCCCAUAAAUUGACUCGUAUAUCUAGACAGUCAUCGAAUCCUCAAACUUAACCCAUAUAUGAGAGAAUAUGAGGGUGUCCAGUUGUCUAGGCAGUCCGCCAAUCAUAUGGAUUAGACCAACUCCAUCCGAACAAUUUGAGGGACAUAUUGCGUGCGCGGAUAAAAUGUGGGUUCAAAAUAAACACGUCCGGACACUAUCCGAACACGUCCGCGAGCGUAAGAAAGGGGCAGAUUUGACCAUUGUGGUUGUAUAUGCUCUCAUCGUUUAUGCUCAAAAAAGCAAGUUCGCUGUUUACACUAUUGACCUGGUGAGUGGUGGCAAGGCAUGUAUGUCACAAACUCACAGUCCGGGCGGUGUACAGGCUAACAAAUAGUAGGCGUUACUGUCAGCUCCAUCACCAUCGCUGGACUAGUUUGGCUUUUAACAGUCUGUCUAUAUCAAAAAUAUACGCGUAUAAAAUCUGAAAUUUUGGAAGAAAAAAAACCAAGUUUUUGUCGUGACACAGCCGGAGCUUACAGCCCCCGGACGUCGUACUGACCUGGCGGCGAGCCUGUCCCUGUAGGGGCGGCGGCGGAGGGGGCUCCAGCGCACGGACUGCGUGACGGCCCAGUAGGCGGCGUACCAGAGCUCCGCCGCCAGCAUGCCCAGCCACGCCGCCUCCCUUCGCCGGCGGCCGGCACGCGCGUCGCCCGGUAGUAGAGCACCAGCAGUAUCCCGGCGGCCACCGUGACGGCGUGGUGCCUGUACACUGCCCGGCCCCCGUUCGUCUCCGUCUCGAACAGCCUCCUGGUCCUCUCCAUCUUCCAGUCUCGCCUGUCGCUCUCUCAGUCUUUUGUCAACUCCUGUAGAUGAUGGACAGGAGCACACGCAUGUAGUGAGGGCCCUGUUCGGGAGGAUCUGGAACUCCUAUAGUUGUUGUGGACAGCCGACCAGGUGGAGGCGUGGACCUCCCCACCCCUCACUCCACUGGUUUGGUUGACUGAAUUGCCCGUCCCACUGCCCACUCCACGCGCGCGCACACACACCCACCCACAUGGCCACACCCCGUGGCCCCGUAGGGCAUCUCCAACACGACUCAUCAAAUCACCUCGACCCGAUAGUUCAAACACUUUCGGACCUUUAAUGCGGACACAUAUUUUAGGUUGGACCUGUUCGGACAUCCGAAAUUCCAAUGCCGGCCCCAAAUUGGGGGUGGAAGAGUUUGAACAUUCGCUGCCUCGGCAUCUGACAACCUGGACCCACCUUUCCCAUGUCUAGAACCCUCAGCAUUGAUGCCGCUCUCACCGGCUCGUCGCCUACCUGCAUUCAAGCCUGGUCGGCGCGUCGCUCGAGAAGCCUACUUCAGCUUUAAAGUCAGUCAACCUCCCCUUUCAAACCCUAUCCUCACUCAGUCCUCCCCAUCUCCCAAAUCUGCUGCACAUCGUACCUGUAAGUGCAUCUAGUGCCACCCCUAAUUGGUUUUGGAGUAUUGACGACAAACCUGGUUGAGGGACUAAUGUGUUUGUGAGAAUUGCGGGAUAACACAGGUAGUAGUCCCUCAUUGAUUCGAUUUACCUACCGGAGAUGACCCCUAAAAAUGUGUGAAGACAUUGAAGACAAUGGUAGUCUGUGAAGAUAUUCAUAUUCAAGACUAUGACAUGAGAAGACAUUGAGUGAAGACUAUGGAACGCGAAGACUUAGUUGUUUCGUUGUUUCCUUUUCUUCUUUGUUGAGUCAUAGGAACCACCGCACUGUUAAGUGGGGUCCUAGUGAACAAAGUCAGAGUGACUAAAGUGAUGCUCAAACAAAUCCUAUGUCUUCGAGCGAAGACAAUGAGAGCAAAUCUUAUCCAGAGUCGGAUAAGUCAGCUUUACUUGUAGCCCAAGUCAAGCUGCCACGUGUGUUUGAAAUCUGACCGUUGCGACACGUGUCAGUUCCUUAGUGACCCAGGGUCAUUUCGGACAAAUCAGGUCGGGUUGCCCUGUGGCUAUAAAUAGCCCACCUCCUACACCAUAAAUUGGUGGCUGCUCAGAGUUAGAUACGGCUUUUGUCGUUUGAGAGCAACCCACCUCCGAAGCUUUUGAGAGAGAAUCCUUGCGAGGAUAAAGCCCAAACCACCCAGAGCCCAGAGUGUGUUUGGCAUCACUGAAGUCUUUUUGUCCGCGUGAUCUGAAGACUUGUUACACUUGAGGACUGUGAAUCCUCCAGCCGGUUAGGCGUCACGUUCUGAGCAUCCAAGAGUCAUUGUGUAUUGCCGGUGAACGAAGUCUGUGAAGGUUUGGAAGUCUACCUUGAAGACUUACCUAAGUGAUUGGGCGGGGACUAGGUGUCCUUAGCUCAAGGGGAAUAAGGUGAAGACACGGUCUUCUGAGUUGAAUCUCAGCCUCCCUAAUCAGACGUACAGUUGUCACAUCAACUGGAACUGGUCGAACAAACCACUGUCUCCCUGAAGCUACUUGUUCUAUCUCUCACUUCUCUUUACUUAUCGUUUGUCUUCGUGAAGUCUUUGCCUGAUUGCAUAAUCUGUUUGACUUCACAGUUUGACUACUUGUCCUGAUUGGCUUCAUACUAUCUUCCACCCUGAUCCUUACUACCUAGCUGCUAAUAGUCUUCGUGCUUUCACUUCAUUGAAUACUUGACUAUGGCUUGUCUAGUGUAGUCUACCUUUCGCUGCAUACGAAUAGUGUUGUUUCUCCUGUUUGUCUUCGAAACUCCCAUGUUUUGAAGACUUUCAUAAAAAUCGCCUAUUCACCCCCCUCUAGUCGAUAACUAGCAUUUUCAAUUGGUAUCAGAGUAAGGUACUCCCUUGUUCUGUGUGAUUCGGUUUAAUCACCUGAAGUUUUAGCUACAUCGACUGCAGGGAUAAUCAAGGUCUCCGCUGCGUGUGAUGGCACUGAAUAUCCCUACUGGAAGAAUAGGAUGCGCAUGCAUCUUGAAGCCAUUGAUGUCGAUCUGUGGUAUGUCAUCAAGAAUGGCGUUCCCAAGACUGGUGAAGGUGUCACCCCCGCUGAUGUGAAGAAGUUCAUUCAACUGGACUCUACCGCCAAGAACAUCAUCUGUGGUCAUCUGACCAAAGGGCAGUAUGGCCAUGUGAGCGCUUUGGAAACGUCGAAGCUAGUCUGGGACUGGCUCUCCAAGGUCAAUGAAGGCGUCUCAACACAGCGUAAUCAACGAAUCAGUACUCUUCGCAACCUCUUCAACCGCUUCAAAAGACACGACAACGAGAACGUCCAGCUCACGUUUGAUCCCCUCACCGAUAUUACCAAUGAGCUCCGUGCACUCGGUGCAACUGACAUUACGAAGCAUGAAAUUGUGAAGACACUGCUGAGAUCUCUUGACAGCUCAUUUGACACCUUAGCCCUGAUGAUACAAGAACGCCCUGAUUUCAAGACACUUGAUCCGUCUGACAUACUCGAGAGGCUCAACACACAUGAGUACCAGCUAUCUGAGAAACGAGAUAUCUAUGGCCCCAACUACGGCCGAACUCGUGCCUUGAAGGCAAAGGCUGCGGCUUCCUCGUUUGGAGAAGAAUCUGACUGCAAUUCUGAUGAUCCUGAAGACAUUGGAAAGGAGCUUGCUAUGCUUGUGAAGAAGUUCCAGAGAUUCACAAGGAAGAAGAACUUCAGAAAGUCUUCACGAUCCAGCUCAAGGGACGAUGAAGCUUCUACCUAUGACAACAAGAAAAGAACCUGUCACAAGUGCAAGAAACCUGGCCACUACAUCUCUGAAUGUCCACAGUGGGACAAUGAGAAGAAGUAAAAGAAGAGCAAAGAAUAUGAUUUUGAUGACAAAAAGAAGAAGAAAUCCUCAAAGUCUUCUUCCAAAUCUUCCUCUAAGUCUUCAUCACACAAGAAGAUCUCGUCAGGCAAAGCACGUGCUUUUGUUGGCAAGGAAAUGGAUUCAGAGGAGGAGUCUGCUUCUGAGGAGGAAGUGGUGGAGUCUGAGGAGGAGUCUGACUCCGGUGUCGCAAGUAUGGCUCUAGCUACAGCCUACGUCGCCAAGUCCAUCUUCAACACUGAAGACAAUGACUCCGUCACCAACACUAAUGACGAGAACGACUCAACUCCCACCUACUGCUUCAUGGCACGUGGUGCCAAGGUAAACUCUCGCGAUGCUUACUUUCAAACAUCAAGUGAAGAUGACUCUGAUGGUGAUUCCAAACCUAGCUACAAAAAACUUGCUAAAACUGCAACUGAACAGCAGAAUGCCAUGGAACAUAUUCAAAAACUAUUAGACAAAAGCAAUGACAUGUUGGACGCGGAAAUGACUAAGACUCGGUCCUUGAUUGAAGACAUAAAAAAUCUUCAUGUUAAGUACCAGGAACUUGAAGGUCGUCAUGAAACCCUCUCAACAUCUCAUGAAAAGCUUUCCUACGAUUAUCUUCAAAGGAAGCAGGAACUUGAGAAAUUGAGAUCGGAUGAUGAAGAUCUUCAAAAAGAGAACGAGUCACUUCACGCUCAACAGAUCAGUCCCGCUCAGGAAGGAUUUGAACCACCAUGUCUAAUAUGCAUUGAGCGUGAUAACGCUGCCUCUGUUGCUGAAUGUUCUACUGCUACUCCUGUUGCAAUACCUUCAACUGAUGAUGUGGUAACUAACCCCUCUAUUGAGGAUACCACCACUAUUGUUGAUGAGAAUGCCAGGUUGAAAACACUGCUUGAGACAGGGAUGUACAAAAGCCUCAAAGGGCAUCAGACAUUAUGUGAUGUCCUCAAAAAGCAGAUUCUGAACCGAAACCCUAGAAAAGAGGGUGUUGGGUUCGAGAGGAAAAUGAAUGUUGAUGGGUCGUACUGGAAGCCUGAGCAGUACCCCAAAACUACCUAGGUUGCUGCAAAGGAACCUCCAGCAGAUCCAUCCACCUUAUCUGGUUUCACUUGCGCUAACCCUAUUAUCAUUGAUGAAUCCUUUGAUGCAAACUAUAAAUUGUUUAAGAAUCUGAAUGGCGAAGUGUUUGCCAGGUAUAUUGGUACUAACUGCAGGAAUGGGUCACCUAUGAAGAAGAUAUGGGUACCCAAGAGUUGCCUUGAGAAUCUUCCUGUGAAUGCCAUCACGACGCCACCUGUGAAGAAGACAAACCCCCUACCAAAGGUGUCAUACGUUCCAAAAGCUUCAUACAGACCAAGGACUCAUCUGAGUCACCCUAACUCAAUGUUUUGCAGGAAAAUCAUACUCAGACCCAUGAAUAUGAGCAUGUUUCAUUAAACCGCUAUGUUCAUAGAACCAAGAACUUUUCUGCUUAUUCAUAUGAGUAUUAUUCACCCCCUGCAAGGCUAUUUACUAGGGCUCAGAAGCCAAAAUUCUCAGAUGCUGCACUUAGACUCAUUGCUUCUAAGCCACCCCUGAAGAUGUGGGUGGUUAAGAAAACUUAACUCUCUUUUGCAGGGAAGGUCUCUAGUCGGAAAUCAAAAGCAUCCGAAGCUAAUGCUGGAGACCUUAAAAUCUUGUUGGGCGCAAGAUAAAAUGCCUAAAUAGUCUUACUAUGUAUUCCAUUCCAGAUUUUCUUGAUACUCAUCCUGUCUAUCCUAACCAAGACCUGAAUUUCCAUGUUCCACUUGCUCAUUAAAUGUUUCUGCUUCACAACUCGCUUGGUGAAGCCUAUCCCCCAAACUGCAUUGUAGGCUACGACACCUUGUGCUUCAGAAUGGAUUAUGGACAAUGGAUGCACUAAUCACAUGACUGACGAUCGAAGUCUUCUGAUGGAUUCAAUGCUGCGUCCAUCAGACAAAAGCCACAUCACAUUUGCUGACACUGGUAAAAGUAAGGUAUUGGGUCUAGGUAGAGUAGCAAUAUCAAGGGAUCAGCACAUGGAUAAAGUGAUGCUUGUUGAAUCCCUUGGUUUCAACUUAAUGUCUGUCUCAAUGCUUUGUGACUUAAACAUGAUUGUGCUAUUUGGAAAAUAUCGCUGCCUUAUACUGAUGGAAUCUAACAAGUCUCUAGUCUUUGAAGGAUAUCGAAAAGGUGAUCUGUAUAUGGUAGAUUUCUCAGCAGGUCCACAGAUGGCCGUAUGUCUUCUAGCAAAAGCUUCAGAAUGCUGGCUUUGGCAUCGAAGGCUAGGACAUGCUGGCAUGAGGAACUUGCACAUUCUCGUGAAGAAGAAGCAUGUUGUGGGCAUCGAAGGCGUCAAGUUCAAGAAGGAUCAUUUGUGUGGCACCUGCGAAGCCGGGAAGAUGACAAGAGCCAAGCAUCCCUCAAAGAUAAUCAUGACCACGUCUCAAUCCUUCGAGCUGCUGCACAUGGACUUAUUUGGCCCUACUCACUAUUCCACUCUCAAUGCUACUGCUUGCCUCUAUGGCUUCAUCAUUGUUGAUGAUUACUCUCGAUACACUUGGGUGCAUAUAAUCCUCUACAAGACUGAAGUGCAGGAUGUCUUCAGACGCUUUGCCAACCGUGCCAUGGCGAACUACGGUGUCAAGAUCAAGCACAUCAGAAGCGACAACGGCACUGAGUUCAAGAACACCGGCCUCGACCUCUACCUGGAUACCAUGGGUAUCACUCAUGAGUUCUCUGCUCCAUACACAUCUCAGCAGAAUGGCAUCGCCGAGCGCAAGAACAGAACUCUUAUUGAGAUGGCCCGAACGAUGCUUGAUGAGUACAAGACUCCACGGAAGUUCUGGCCCGAAGCCAUUGAUACUGCUUGUCACACCAUCAACCGCGUUUAUCUUCACAAGCUUCUGAAGAAAACAUCCUAUGAGCUCCUAACUGGUAAGAAACCCAAUGUAAGCUACUUCAGAGUAUUUGGUGCUAGGUGCUGGAUCAAGGAUCCUCAUCACACUUCAAAAGUUUGCACAGAAAGCACAUGAAGGUUUUAUGCUUGGUUACGGAAAAGAUUCGCACUCCUACAGAGUCUUCAACCUCUUUCACUAUAAAGUGGUUGAAACUGUGGAUGUGCAGUUCGAUGAGACUAACGGCUCGCAAAGAGAGCACCUACCAAAUGUUUUUAGAUGAGUUAUCCCCUAGCGAGUCAAUCAAGUAAAUGGGAACUGGUGAAAUCAUACCCUCUGAGAAUCAGGCUGAAGAAGAACUGAUCAUUUCUGCACCUGAUCAACCUGAAGACAAUGCUCAGCCUGAAGAUAAUCCUCCAAAUGAUGACAUUGAUCAGAAUGAACAGAAUCUUCGUCCUGCUCACCCUCGUGUUGCAAAUGAAGUACAGAUUGAGAAGAUGAUCGAUAGCCUCAAUGCACCUGGUCCACUCACUCGUUCAAGAGCCACACAAAGAGCAACACAACUCACCAAUUUCUGUGGACACUUUGCAUUCGUCUCAAUCUCAGAACCCAAGAAAGUCACCGAAGCCUUUAUGGAAUCUGAAUGGAUUCAAGCAAUGCAAGAAGAGUUUCAACAGUUUGAGUUGAACAAUGUGUGGGAACUGGUCAAGCGUCUUGAUCCUCGGAAGCACAAUAUCAUUGGCACCAAAUGGAUAUAUCGCAACAAGCAAAAUGAACAUGGUCAGGUGGUCAGAAACAAAGCUCGUCUAGUUGCUCAAGGCUACACUCAAGUGGAAGGGAUUGACUUUGAUGAAACUUUUGCUCCUGUGGCAAGGCUUGAAGCCAUUCGCAUACUGCUAGCCUAUGCAAAUCAUCACAACAUUCUCCUUUAUCAAAUGGAUGUGAAGAGUGCUUUUCUCAAUGGAAAGAUAGAAGAAGAAGUAUAUGUUGCACAACCUCCUGGCUUUGAAGAUCCAAAACAUCCUGAUAUGGUGUACAAGCUCAACAAGGCACUGUAUGGCCUCAAACAAGCCCCUCGCGCUUGGUAUGAUACACUCAAAGACUUCCUGAAGAGCAAAGGCUUCAAACCUGGUUCACUGGAUCCUACCCUCUUCACGAAGACUUAUGACAGUGAACUGUUUGUGUGCUAAAUAUAUGUGGAUGACAUUAUCUUCCGCCGCACCAACAAGAAAUACAGUGAUGAGUUUGGUCAUAUGAUGCAAGAGCAAUAUCAGAUGUCCAUGAUGGGUGAACUAAAGUUCUUUCUAGGUCUCCAAAUCCGUCAGCAACGCAACGGCAUCUUCAUUUCUCAAGAAAAAUAUCUCAAAGAUUGCCUAAAGAAGUUUGGAAUGCAAGACUGCAAAGGAUACACGACGCCAAUGCCAACCAAAAGUCAUCUGGGUCCCGACGACACUGGUAAAGAAUUCGACCAAAAGGUAUACCGCUCCAUGAUUGGUUCUUUGCUUUAUUUAUGUGCAUCUAGGCCAGAUAUAAUGCUUAGUGUUUGCAUGUGUGCCCGAUUCCAAGCGGCACCAAAGGAAUCGCAUCACUUACCAGUGAAGCGAAUACUUCGAUAUUUGGCUUACACCCCAACACUAGGAUUAUGGUAUCCAAAGGGCUCAGAGUUUGAUCUAGUUGGAUUCUUAGAUGCUGAUUAUGCUGGUGAUAAGGUUGAUCGCAAGUCCACAUCAGGCACAUGUCACUUUCUGGGACGAUCACUUGUCUGUUGGUCUUCAAAGAAGCAGAACUGUGUAUCUCUCUCCACUGCUGAAUCCGAAUACAUUACUGCUGGAUCUUGCUGUGCUCAGCUUCUCUGGAUGAAGCAAACUCUCAAGGACUAUGGUAUACACCUAAAGAAUGUGCCUCUUUACUGUGACAAUGAGAGUGUCAUCAAGAUUGCCAACAAUCUAGUUCAGCACUCGAAGACAAAGCAUAUUGAGAUUCGGCAUCACUUCCUCAGAGAUCAUGUUAUGAAGGAAGACAUUGAUAUCAUCCAUGUCAACACUGAAGAGCAACUGGCUGAUAUCUUCACAAAGCCCUUGGAUGAGAAAAGGUUUUGCAAGUUGCGGUGUGAGCUAAAUAUCUUGGAAUUCUCAAAUGUCCUGUGAAUGGGACACACAUCCUAACACUUAUGCAUUUUGAUGACUUAGAUGUGCAACACACGAAGUAACGUAUAUCUUCAAUCAAUGAAGACAUACACUCCAAGUGUGAAUACAUUAAUGCGGAAUUUGACUUCGGAGCGCCAGGAUAAUUGUGCGCCGUGUCUGAGUCUAAUACUUUCUAUACGGUGGGUAACACCACCACCAAACUUUUGUUUGAGGUGCUUCUCUUAGCGUUAUGUUUGCAUAGUCUUCAUAACUGAGUUGUCUUUAUUUCUGACUUAUAUUCGAAUUUAUCUUCAUAUGAUUGAUUUGGCCUUAAACUGGUUGCAUACUAUUUGUGUUCUGUCCUCCACGGCAUUCACUUAUAGUUAUGACUUCGUGUUGAAUCUUUUAAUCUAAGUGAAUGUGAUCGGACCCUAACCUAACUAUGCUUCUACCUCAACUCCAUCUGUCCAAAUCAUAUGCAUUCUAUUGAAAACUGUCGAUUGUCUUCACUGAAUCUUGUCAGCUGAAGUCAAUCUGACAAACAUUCAUGUUUGUUUUAAAUGUGCUAUCUUUAUUACCGGAAAUCCGAAGAAUUCAGAACGACCGCCCCCACAAUCCAGGCGUGCGUGGGAACAUGGAACAACUACCCAGGAGUUGCAUGCACGCCACGUGUCAUUCAAAUGUGAAUCGCCAGGGGCACCUGCGUAAUUACGCUGUGCUGUCCCUUUCCUUAUAAAUGCACAUCCCAUCACGGUCAAAAAACUUUCUUCCACCUCGCCACCUCCCGAAAACCCUAGCGCCACCGCUAGCACUCGACGACGCCGGCGAUGAAGCGCUUAGGUGUCGCGACUUCUCCGACGCCGUCCUCACGCCGGCCGCGACCUCAUCUUCUCUGUCGCCACCGUAGCUGUCUCUCGUCGCCAAGUUAGGGCACGAGAGAUUGAACUGCUCGGCCUCAACUUUUCCUCCGUCUAGCAGUUCUUCCUGUGGUAAUUAAAACUCUCUUUUUACUGUCUUUUUGAUCUGAUAGAUUCAUCCUUCUUUACCAAAAGUAGUUUCUACAACUCCAAAGUUGAAUCUAUCACACUCUGCAUCUCAUAAUGUGCCUAGAAUGUUCACUUAUGCUUCAUUACAAGUUAGAUUCCUCACUUGUACUUAUUUCCGGAUUUGUACAACUCUGGAACCAACUCACAUCAACUAAGUGAAUAUCUUCGCGUUAUGAGGUCAAUGUCUUCAAACUGAUUUAUCUUCAAAAUCAUCUGAGAAUGCAUAUGACCUCUUCCCCUUUCCUCGCAUCUCUAAUGCUGUCACAGGUACAUGUCCGUGGGAGAAUCCCUUGGUUCUCAUAGUCUGCAUUCAUUUGCAGAAUUCUUGCAGAGUCACAUCAAUUCACCUGAAGCAAGUUCUUGUCUGACUAGCCGCAAGAAGCCAUUGCACGUUCUGAAACCCUUCAGCUUAAACUUCAUGACAACUGAAAAGUCAGCACGAAAGGGAGGCAGACAGCGCCGUGGUAACACUUCAAAGGAUUUGCCUCCUGAUCUUCACGAGCUGUACAAAACUGAUCCUGAGGAAACCUAUACCGGCCGCAAGAAUCGAAUCCAGUGGAUUCGAAGAUAUUGGGCUGAAGAAUGGUUCAAAUACCGCUUCGUCACUGAAGAAUAUGCAGAGAAAAAUGCCAUCAAGACACCCUGGGGAGAUAUUGUGUACAAAAAUCUUCAACCCCAGUCUCUUUCCGAAGCCAUCCAACUGGAAUUCUAUCCUUGCAUGGUUCGCGGACCAGAGCUAGAGAAUGCUGACCCUUCUUCUCUGCUAUGGUGUCGCGAAGACCAUCUCUUUAAGCGCAAUUACCAGUUCGCCAAAGACUCAGCUGCGAAGAACAAGAAGGCUCUAGGGCUCAACUUCAACCCUUGUCCUUCCUCACCUCGGGAUGAUGGCACCCGCGAAGCCAAUGAGAAUAGGAUCGGUCCCUUCUACAACUUUGAAGGCCUCCUCGCUCACAUAGCUGUACAAGGUGCCAAGGUGGAUCAUUCUGAUGAUGAUGCUGACACAGAUGAAGCUCCUGCUCCUACUCCAAAGCCGCAGAAGCAAAAGAAUGCUAAAGCUUCAAAACCCUCUGCUGCACCAAAGGCUUCUCGAGUGAAGCCGUUGGCAACUGCCCCUCCUGCUCCAAGCAACGCCUCUGAAGAUCUCUCUCGCAUCUCUAAGAAGCGUGAGAAGCCACAGAAGAAACCUGUUCAGAGACUCAGUCAAGCACUGACACCAGCUGCCGUUCUGAGGAAUGAAUCUGAAGCCAUUGAUUUGUCUUCAGAUGAAGAAUUUGGUGAGGAUGCUCUGGAGCAGCUGAUCAAGAGCAAGCAAGAGGCGGAGAUCUUCAAUGAUCUGCCCCUCUUUGAUGUGAACAUCUUGCACAAUUUCAUUGAUGAGUGGUUCGACAAUCAAAAUCUCAGCUUUGAUGAUCUCCAACUCCCCAUUGGCAUCAGCGUCGCCUUCCAAGGCGCAAUUGCUCCUGAGCUGGCUCUGGCCCAGCGAAUUGUUGAACUGAAACACAAGAUUGAUUUCGAGAAGGAACAGUUCAAGAAGCAUGUGGCCAAGCUGAGUGUGGCUGAUGUCCAAAAAUUCAAGGUGAUGCUGAAUGACCUUAAAGAAGCCUUUCGCAAGAAGCGUGAAGAAGCCAAAGGCUCAAGAGAACGCAUGAAGAUUCUUGCUGCCAAAUGUGUUCAGGCUUACAACGAAGCUGAAAAGCGCAAGGCACUUGGGCGUCCUGGUAUUGACCCCAAGAUGGCUGUCAAGCAAAAGAAGAAGUCUACUGUGGCCCCCACUGAAGCUCCAAGGCGGGAAGAACCUCGCAUUGUCUUCCCUGCCAGCAUGAUAGGCUCGAAGCCUAAGGUCUCCACAGUGGCUUCAGAUCAGCAGAAGACCAAGGCCGCUGAAGCCGAAGCCAGAAAGCGCAAAAUCAAGCGCACUACUGAUGAUGCACCACCCCAAAGAAGAGAACGACCAAGAAGAAAGAUCGGGCUGCUUCCAGAGAGCCCCUAGUUGUUGAACCCAUUGCUUGUGCUCCCCCUCCAUCCAACAAUCAAGAGCGUCAGUUGAUUGUUCAUGAGCCUGCUUCCACAGAGGCUCCUGAAGAACAAGAAGUUCCAGUCGUCGAUCCUAUCGCGACUGAAGACAUUGGUCCCCAAGACAAUGUAGAAGAUGAUGAAGUCCUUCCUCAGAUUCAGAACCCCACAGUAUCAUCGCCUGUUCUCAUGAACAACGAACUCAUCAGUAUUGGUCGUCCUUUGAUGCCAAUCACACAGGAUGCUUCAUGGGCUGAUCGCCCCCAACCAGAUACCCUAGUUCAAGACUCCCCAAGUACACCGCAUCCUACGCCAACGCAAGGUACCAGUCCAAUUGUCAAUGAUGACAAUUACAUGGAGGCCACACCAUCAUCGAAGACGUCACCCGUGUUUCAACGGCUCCACAAAGGCCUGAGGCCUUCGGUCUCCAUGACGACUAUCAGGAAGAGGAUUCACACCAAUCCAGCUCAGUGGCACGUCAAGUGUUUCCUGAAGACAAUCCUUCUGUGAUGGUUCCUGUGCCCGAAGCUAAUGCUUCUGAAGAGAUUCCGGCUGCAACAGUCGAUGACAGACAAGAAGAACCUGUUGCCACACACCCCACAAAUCAAGAAGUUGUUCUCGAGGAGAACGUAUCUGUGCCCGACCCUCCAGCUACACAAGUGGAGGUUGAGAAUACUGAGGCGGCCACCAAUAACGCCACUGAAGCCAAUGACGUUGUCAUGGCUGAAGCCAAUGUGGCACCUCAAGUCAAUACAGUGAAUGAAGCCAAUGCUGCACCUGCAUCCAAUGUGCAGCCUGAAGCUAAUGCAGAUGCCACUGCUCCUGUUCCGCCUCCAAGGCCACACACAAUUAAGCAUGCAUUCUAUCAAGGCGAGCUUGUUCCUGUAUGAUGGCCAAUUCUGGUUCCUCCGCCUGCUCCUGGACCACAAUUUGACUACCAUGUGGAGCAUAGGCCUCAGGUUCAGAAGCCAAAACCUAAGACUGCCCAGAUUCCCAGGUUCUGCAUCAGCACCAGGCUCCUUCAAUGUCAACGGCUUCAUUGCACACAACACCUUCUUCGAUUCUGGCAAGAACCCAUAUUCCAAGCCAAGAAUCUCAUCAGAUCGGUUCUGGAGCUACCACCAGCGCAGCUACUACUCCUGCAUUCUAUACAAUCAAGAGCGCAUAUUUCCUCAUAUGCGUCUGGACACUGAAGUCGUUGCUGGUCUGCCCUGCCUUGAAGAAGCCCUAGACUGCUUUCGUGAUGCUGGCCUUCUGCAGUUUGUCACCGACAAGGAACAUUGGAAUGAAGAGCUUCUCCUGCAAUUUUAUGCAACCCUCCACAUUCGCGGCUACAAUAGGGAUACAACGACAUUGGUCCUUGAGUGGAUGACGGGCAACGUUCAUCAUGAAGCCAAAGCCUUUGAUCUCAUUGAGCUUACCAGCCUCUCCACUCCAGGCGAACUGUAUGAACCAGGUUGUCAGCUUCACCGCGAUGCAUUGGAGAGCAUCUUUUAGAAGCUUGAGCCCAACAUAAGCCAGAUGCUCAGUAUGAUGAAGCCACUGCCCUCGGAUGCUGAGUAUCCCAAGGAAUUCCUUGUUGAAGACCUUGAGUAUCUGCCACGCACAAUCUAUCAUAUCAUUCGGCGAACUCUAUGGCCGAUGAAGGGGCAUUCCUCCUCAGCAAAUCUUGAAGGAGCAAUGAAGACAUUGGUCUUCUACAUACUCAAUGGCAAAAGCUUCAAUGCUCAAGAUUUCUUCAUACGCCAGUUUGCUGCAUCUGGGUCUGACAUUUCCGGUCUCAAAUUUUAUGCUCCUUGGGUUAUGCGUCUGAUUAAGCUGCACUCUGCUGUUGACUAUCAGCCCUCUGCACGCAACCAUAUUAUCUUCCUGCCAGAGGUUGAUAUGUCAGUCGAAGCCAUUUACCCAGAGCCUGCCAAGGAAGCGCUAUAUCUUCACAAUGCAGAUUGUCAGAGUUUCACUCAGGAUGUUGAAGGUGUUCAAGCUGUUUCGCGUGUCUAUCCAUUGGCCAGCAACACUCGUCGUGCACGUACUGAAGCCAUUGAAAGCACCAUUGCGCCAAGGUCUCGCAAGCGCUCCCGUGUACUCUAUGACCAUGAGCUUCUUGUGGCCCUGCAUCGGAAACAAGACAAGCAUCACUUUUGGCUGAAACGGCAGAUGCAAAGCCUCUUGAUGGAUGUUAAUCACAUUCGCAAUCUUGCUACCAAGAAUGCUUUUGUCACUCAUGAAACCUGUCGGAGGUCCUGGAAGAGUCUAACAUUACUAAGUGUUGAAGCUGAUCUUCAAGACGAUGGCUUCACUGAGAGAUUCAAGUUCGACUCCACUCCUCCACGGAAUGAUGUGCUACGUCAAACCCCAUCUCUUGAAGACUCAGAAUACUCUUCCUCUGCAGCCACUGUUCACGCUAGAGUUAUUGAUGAAGCUGAUGAUGCUACCUCACCACCUCCAACCUCAGCGCAUGUCAACACUGCACCAAGUUCUUCUGCACCACCUAACCUCAACGACGACCCUACUGCUUCACCUACUCCUCAUGGGAACGAGUAGCGACUAUGUCUUCAAACCUUUUUGGUCCUUACUGACAAAAGGGGGAGAAGCAUAUGUUGAUAGUCUUCAAGCGGGUCCAUAUGGGUGGUUGCUAUACUUUUGCGCGGUGUUUACAACUCUCGUUUUUGAUACAUUUGGUUCUUUGAGUUGUAACACCUAAACUCGAUGGUUGUCUGCUACUUUUUGCUACUAGUCUGUGAUGCGACGAUAAAUUCCGCAUAUGCGAUGUUAAAUCUCGCAUGAAGUCAUGUCGCAGACAUCCAUCUUUCAUUAUGCAUGUCAUUAUCCUUGUAUAUCUUCUCAUGCAUGAUGCAUUGUCUUCAUAUGGUGAGAUGGAUCACCACAAGUACAACCUGCCAUGUGCAUUUGCAUUCCAACGCAAAACAUUUAUAUGCACAUCUUCAGGGGGAGCCUCUUGCCAUAUAUGAAGACAAUGCCUUAAUCCCCUACAAUUUCACAUACUUUUAUCCCCGUUGAAAACUUCAACCAGUUUGUCAUCAAUCACCAAAAAGGGGGGGAUUGUAAGUGCAUCUAGUGCCACCCCUAGUUGGUUUUGGAGUAUUGACGACAAACCUGGUUAAGGGACUAAUGUGUUUGUGAGAAUUGCAGGAUAACACAGGUAGUAGUCCCUCAUUGAUUCGGUUGACCUACCGGAGAUGACCUCUAAAAAUGUGUGAAGACAUUGAAGACAAUGGUGGUCUGUGAAGAUAUUCACAUUGAAGACUAUGACAUGAGAAGACAUUGAGUGAAGACUAUGGAACGCGAAGACUUAGUUGUUUCAUUGUUUCCUUUUCUUCUUUGUUGAGUCAUAGGAACCACCGCACUGUUAAGUGGGGUCCCAGUGAACAAAGUCAGAGUGACUAAAGUGAUGCUCAAACAAAUCCUAUGUCUUCGAGCGAAGACAAUGAGAGCAAAUCUUAUCCAGAGUCGGAUAAGUCAGCUUUACUUGUAGCCCAAGUCAAGCUGCCGCGUGUGUUUGAAAUCUGACCGUUGUGACACGUGUCAGUUCCUUGGUAACCCAGGGUCAUUUCGGACAAAUCAGGUCGGGUUGCCCUGUGGCUAUAAAUAGCCCACCCCCUACACCAUAAAUUGGUGGCUGCUCAGAGUUAGAUACGGCUUUUGUCGUUUGAGAGCAACCCACCUCCGAAGCUUUUGAGAGAGAAUCCUUGCGAGGAUAAAGCCCAAACCAUCCAGAGCCCAGAGUGUGUUUGGCAUCACUGAAGACUUUGUGUCCGCGUGAUCUCAAGACUUGUUACACUUGAGGACUGUGAAUCCUCCAGCCGGUUAGGCGUCACGUUCUGAGCAUCCAAGAGUCAUUGUGGAUUGCCGGUGAACGAAGUCUGUGAAGGUUUGGAAGUCUACCUUGAAGACUUACCUGAGUGAUUGGGCGGGGACUAGGUGUCCUUAGCUCAAGGGGAAUAAGGUGAAGACGCGGUCUUCUGAGUUGAAUCUCAGCCUCCCUAACCAGACGUACAGUUGUCACAAUAACUGGAACUGGUCGAAUAAACCACUGUCUCCCUGAAGCUAUUGGUUCUAUCUCUUACUUCUCUUUACUUAUCGUUUGUCUUCGUGAAGUCUUUGCCUGAUUGCAUAAUCUGUUUGACUUCACAGUUUGACUACUUGUUCUGAUUGGCUUCAUACUAUCUUCCACCCUGAUCCUUACUACCUAGCUGCUAAUAGUCUUCGUGCUUUCACUUCAUUGAAUACUUGACUAUGGCUUGUCUAGUGUAGUCUACCUUCCGCUGCAUACGAAUAGUGUUGUUUCUCCUGUUUGUCUUCAAAACUCCCAUGUUUUGAAGACUUUCAUAAAAAUCGCCUAUUCACCCCCCCUCUAGUCGAUAACUAGCACUUCCAGUACCUCCAAUGGCCACCAUGAUGGACAAGAAGAUGCUCGAGGAGGAGAACAAGCGCACCGGGGCGUGGUGGUUGCUUGGCGGCUACCACUCGACGCAGCCUCCGCCAUGCCCGGACUCUGGAUUUGAGGAGAGCUUCAGAUCCAAUAUGCGGUGCUAUUCCCGGUCACCGAGUCCAUCUUCGUCCACCGUGAAGGAGAAGCGGGUUGACGAGGAGGAGAUCGGCUAGGCCAACCUUGCGAGGAGGACUCGGUAGAGGAGGAGCCGCCGCAGCCGCCCAUGCCCUGCGGCGGCGAUAGAUGGCGAGUUCCAGCAGCACACGGAUUGCACCGUGGAACUCGUUGAGCGACUAGGGUCCGGCGCCAUCAUCUCCUCUAUGAAACCAUAGUGUCCAGAUUAGACUCCGUUUGUAGUCAUCCGUGUUGCCCCGAUGCCAAAUGGUGCCUUGCCCUAGUGAAGCAAGAGUCAUCCCAGCCGAGGCUGCGUAGCCACCUUGACUACUAUCUGAGUGGUGGUGGCUCGGGCUGCACAUCGUCCUCGUCGUCGGUGGUCGGGGGAUGCCUCACCAAGGUGGAGAGACACGCCCGGAGUGACACCGGGUGCAGCGCUUGGUGGUGUUCGCCAAGACCGAUGUGCCACCGCCCUAGGUCCUCGCUGAGGCUUGGGCCUUCGAUUGGUUCAAGACCACCAAGAAGAUGGUUGCCCGCCGAUGGCGCCGUCCGAACUAGCAGCUCCUCCUUUUCGGGCUGGUCGAGACCGAGUGCUUGAUCCGCCUCCAAGCCAACAAGAAGCGACCCAAGGUGGAAGAGGUGGCUGAGUUUCUACGGCGUGAGCAUGACGCCCCGGCCAUGGACAGUUCGCGCGACGGCUAGAGUUGUAUCCUCCACUGGCGCGACUAUGACGACUCAAACAGCGGCGGCAACUGUGGUGCCCGUGGGCUUGGAGGCCAUGCCUACGAGGUGGUCGUGCGCUACUUAGCCUAGUUUUAGUUUAGUUAUGUUAAGUUAAAUUUGAGUAGUUUCGAUGAAACUUGUUAAAUCUUAUCUAAUAUGCAUGUAAUAUAUCGUACUAGGUUUAAUUUCGUUUUUGAAGUGUUCGGACGAGGGAAAUUACGGAGACGAUUUUGGAUGGCCGGCGCCGGCCAGAUGACCGCGGACACAUCAAAUUGGUCAUACAAUGCAAUAUAAAACAAAUACCUUACACUCAUUCAACAAAACUAAGUGAGACAAAUAUCUAAAAGCCAUAGUGAGAACACUUAGUGAUUUGAAUGUGAUAUGUACAAUCCAGUGGCACCCUGCUUUGUUUGUACAUUGGGAUCUUUGUCCAAUGGUCCAAAUGGCUAGAUCCUAUGUAUCCACCUAAUGGUCUGAUCCUAUACAAGUUGCUCCCCAGUAAAAUGUACUGUAAAGAAAUCUCUGAUAUUUCGAUUCACAUAGAUAUGGUGAUUUUGCGCACUGCACAGUCUUCAACAAGUUACUUUCAUAGUUAAUAUUCAUACAAAUAUGUUGGUAAGAAUAUAUAGAAAAACAUGUAUCAUGAAAAUAUUUUCAUCAGGACAAUUUUGCUUAAUUAUUGUGAAGCAUUUCCUCUUAUUUAGCGCUCUUGUUGGUAAGAUCUAAGAAAUGACAGGAUACAAGAGAGGGAGAGAUGGUUGAAAGGGGGUCCUAAUUUGAGGUGGGCACAGGUGGGAUGAGAAGGGAUUAGGUGCAACAUUGAGGAUGAAAAUAGAGGGUUUACGCAAAAUGUCCAUGCCCUGGCCACCUUGCUAAAUCUGGAUAGCUCAUUCUUUAUUCAAUGGUGCAGACGAUUGGAUCCUAUGUAUUCAUGUGUCCACCUAAAGCCCUGAUUCUAUACAAGUUGCUCCCAUACUGGGAUUUUACUAGUGCUAGAGGAGACUGAGUUAGAUCUGUCAUCGAUUGCAUCGGCGUUCUUGACAUCUUCUGUUUGGGCAUUUUUAUUUUACCGAAAAAGGCUUUCGCCCCGCUUUAUAAAUAAAGCAAACCGCCACAGAGCAUACAAACCGAAGCAAGUCCACACACACCCACCCAAGACUCACGACAAAGUACAUAGGUUCUGCUGAGGGCACAGCUCAACAAGCCCAAAAGGAAAAGAAAAACAACACCCACACACCAAACACAAGGCGUCUAGUCAGGAUCCGGCGGAGGCGGCGGCGACAGGCGGACGGCCAUCGAACGGAUGUUGGCGAUGAAGGCGGAGAUGGCGUCACAGUUCGGGGGGCGGCUAAGCGGCCGCCAAAGCUGCAAGAAACCCGAGAAUUUGUAGAGAGCGUCAGUAGCGCGGCGAAGGGGAGCGUGCUAAAUCACAAGCUUAUUGCGAACGGUCCAAAGAGUCCAGGCGAGAACGCCAACCUCAAGCCACCUAAUGUGGCGAGAGGACGCGGAGGACAACUGGAGUUCAGCAAAAAGGUCCGGGAAAUUGGUGUGGCACCAACUACCACCGACCACCUCGCGAAAGCAGCUCCAGAGGAACUGGGCGGAGACGCGGGAGAAGAAGAUGUGGUUCGAGUCUUCAGGGACUCCACAGAGCGGGCAGAUACCGGUGCCCGGGCCAUUGCGCUUGCAGACCUCCACUCCAGACGGGACCCGGCCGCGAAUCCACUGCCACAUGAAAAUGCGGAUCUUCAGGGGAACGCGGACGGACCACACCGUCGAUAGGGGGAGGGGAGCGGAGGAUGGGGCAAUGGCCGGGUACAACGACUUGGUGGAGAACAAGCCCGACGGAUCCAGACGCCACCGCACAAGGUCCGGUCUGCCAUCCACCAACGGCUCAUGCAACGCAACGCAAUCAAGCAACUCACGCCAGGCGGCGGAUUCCGCCGGCCCAAAAGGCCGACGGAAAGCAAGGCGCCCUAAGUCAAGAAGGGCCCUAUUGACCGAAAUCGUGGGGUCGACGGAGAUAGAGAAGAGGGCGGGGAAGCGGGCCGCAAAGGGAGCGUCUCCGGCCCAACGAUCAAACCAGAAAAGCGUCGAGAGGCCGGAUCCCACCGAGAUGGAGGUCCCAAUGCGGAGCACCGGGAGAAGCUGGACAAUAGACUGCCAGAACUGAGAGCCGCCCGAUUUCUGGCAGAAGGCUAGGGGCUGACCCCGCAGGUAUUUAUUCCGGAUAAUGUCGAGCCAGAGGCCACCUUGACCCUGGGCGAUGCGCCAGAGCCAACGGGAGAGAAGGUCAAUAUUCAUCCUUUUAGAGCACAUGAUGCCCAGACCACCUUGCUCCCUGGGCUUGCAGAUGUCAGGCCAGCUGACCAUGUGGUACUUUUGCUUAUCAUGCUCGCCAGCCCAGUAGAAGCGGGACUGAAUUUUGGCGAUCUCCUUGUGGAGAGAUUCAUGGAGGCUGUAGAAACUCAUAAGGAACAGAAGGAGACUGGAGAGGGAAGAGUUGAUGAGAAUAGUCCGGGCCGCCUUAGAUAGCCAUCUCCCCUGCCAGGGCUCGCAACGGGAUUGGAGCUUAGUCACGGAGGGCCGCAGGUCCGCGACGGAGAGUCGCGAGUCGCUAAUGGGAGUCCCCGGGUAGGAGGUGGGGAAAGAGCCCAGGCGGCAAUUAAGUCUGUUGGCGAUGGCCAUAGACUCAGAGGGGGAAUAUCCCAUAACCAUGACAUCACUCUUCUCAAAGUUGAUCUUGAGGCCCGACAUCUGUUGGAAGCAGAGAAGGAGGAACUUGAGGUUGGCGAUGUCCACCUCCGAGCCUUCGACCAUAAUGAUCGUGUCGUCAGCAUACUGGAGGAUGGAGAUCCCCGAGCCCCCAGAAAGGUGUGGGGUAAUCCCGCGGAUGUGGCCAGCGGCUUUUGCCUUAUCAAGGAUGGAGGCAAGAGCGUCCACUACCAUAUUGAACAAGAACGGGGAGAAGGGGUCGCCUUGGCGCACCCCACAAAGGGUAGGGAAGAAAGGACCAAUCUCGCCGUUGAUGUUAACCGCCGUGCGACCGCAAGAGACCAUUUGCAUGACUCUAGUGAUCCACCGGUCAUCAAAGCCCUUCCGAAGAGGGACUUCCCUGAGGAAGGUUCAGCUAACAGAGUCGUAGGCUUUGUGGAAAUCGAUCUUCAGAAAGACCGCCUUAAGGCGUUUGACCCGGACCUCGUGAAGGACUUCAUGAAGGACCAGGACUCCAUCUAGGAUAUAUCGGCCCUUAAUGAAGGCCGACUUGUUAGGGUGGGUUAUCCGGUCAGCAAGCAGGGUCACCCUAUUGGCGUACCCUUUGGCCAGGAUCCGGAAGAUCACAUUAAUGACCGUGAUCGGCCGGAACUGGCGGAUGUCGGACGCCCCAGGGACCUUGGGGAUGAGAGAGAUGAUCCCGUAGUUGAGGCGCCCCAGGUCAAUAGAGCCAACAAAGAAUUCCUUGAAGAUGGCCAUGACUUCUGGUUUAAUCACGUUCCAGAAGGUCUGGAAGAAGAUGACUGGGAGUCCAUCCGGGCCCGGAGCAGAAGAAGCAUUCAUACCCUUGAUAGCCUCCCAGACCUCCUGCUCAGAGAAGGGGGUCGUCAAGGCCGCGUUCUCCGCGUCGGACACUAGCUGGAGGCCGGCCCAACAAUCAGGGGCGAGGGAGAUGCCGCUCCGAGGAGCGGCAGAGAAAAGGGACCUAUAGAAACCGUCGACAUGGGUCCGGAUGUCGCGGGGGUCCUGGAGGAGGGUCUCCCCAUCCCAGAGAAGGGGGAUGGUGUUGCGUCUACGGCGGCCGUUGGCGAUAGCCUGGAAGUAUGCAGUAUUCGCGUCACCCUUCAGGACCCAUUUCUGCGCGCCCCGAAGGCGCCAAUAAGCCUCCUCAUCGGUGUAGAUCACGGAGAGUUGGUCUUCGAGGUCAUAGCGGGACAACCACUCGUCCGGAGAGAGACCCACCACGUCGGCCCUAAGGUCAAGGGCCUGGAUCGCGGUAAGCAGCGCCUUCUUACGCUCCCUGGCGUCGCGACCAAGGUUGGCCCCCCACCCCUUCAUAAACUGCCUGCCACGUUUCGCACAGAAGUUCCACGCGUCAAUAGCCGAGGGGGGCCGAGGGUGGGGGUGGGCCCGAGCCUCGAUCCACCGCGCGCAGACGGCGUCGGUAAAUCCAGACUGGGAGAGCCAGAAGGUCUCAAAGCGGAAACGAGGGGGAUCGGCGGACGCUCGUCCGCGGAGGAGAGAAGAAGGGGGACAUGAUCCGAGCCAAUCCUAGUGAUGGCGCGGAGAGAGGCUAGGGAGCAAGGGAGGUCCCACUCCGGGGACAUUAAGACCCUGUCCAAGACGGACUGGGUCGGGGAGGCUUGCCGAUUGGUCCAGGUGAACCGGGCACCAAUCCUAUCAAUCUCCCGGAGGGCGAGGUCAGCAAUGAAGUCAUUAAACAACUGCAUCCGGGCAAAGCAGACAUUGUCAUUGCUCUUGUCUUCCGCCACGCGCAGCAGGUUAAAGUCGCCACCCACUACCACGGGGAGGGAGGCAGCCGAGAUCUUCCGGUGGAGCUCCUCAAGGAAGGCGGCCGACCGACUAUGGUCGGCAGGCCCGUAGACAAUGAUGAUCUCCCACUUGAAGUUGAGAGAUCUCUCGAAUAAUUCCAUGCUGACGAAGAAUUCCCCCCGAUCCAUGCUGCCCACCUCGAAGGUGGCAUCCUUCACACCUAAAAGGAUGCCACCCGAGUGGCCUGAGCUCCCACUAGAAGGGAGCCAGUGCCACGCAAAGAGGUGGGAGCUCAAAUGGUCGAGCUCAGGGAACGAGAAGUCGCGACGCAUGGUCUCCUGAACGGCAACGAUGUCGAUGUGCUCAUCCCGCAUGUACUCCACAAGUUGGCGGCGACGACCAUCAUGGCCGAAGCCGCGGAUGUUCCAGAAGAGGGCUCGCAUUAAGGAGCCAUCGGGGGGCUGCUUGACCCCAGAACACGAGAAGCGCUUUGCGCGCGAAGAGCCGCAGUGCGGGAGCGAGUACGGCCACGGAUCUCCGCCCCGGCUGCCGCGGACCAGGCGGGGUGGGAGACACCCCCACCGCAGAGGCGGCCGGAGGUAAAAGGAGGGCUGCACGGGCCUCCGCGAGCUUCCCAUCAAGGAUCUCACGAGCUCUGAUGGCCGCGAUCUGGACUAAAGGGGGGCCAGCCUCCCCUCUGAAGAUGAUCGUGGAGUCGGAGGCCACUUUGGCGAGGUUAAUCCCGAGUUGAAGGGCUUACGCAAAUUGCUUCUGCCCAACCCGGGACUACUCCACAUAUAAAUACAAUUGCACAUGAAACUAUCAGCGCAAGUGUUUUGAGAGAACCAUAAACCAUACCAACUUGAGUACUUAAUUACACACUGAUGCCUCUUAUGGGAC
This 64507-nucleotide long non-coding RNA is filed under the name Triticum aestivum (bread wheat). Its description in RNAcentral is "long non-coding RNA (TAES_LNC007449)". Lineage: Eukaryota; Viridiplantae; Streptophyta; Magnoliopsida; Poales; Poaceae. The record is from RNAcentral.